This 61778-nucleotide long non-coding RNA is filed under the name Eucalyptus grandis. Its description in RNAcentral is "long non-coding RNA (EGRA_LNC001153)". The record is from RNAcentral. Lineage: Eukaryota; Viridiplantae; Streptophyta; Magnoliopsida; Myrtales; Myrtaceae.
GCUUUAAACCGUAGCAUCCUUCCAAACUAAGGUACUCGAGAACAGGGCUGCCAUUCGACAUCUCAUGCAUCACCUCCGAGUCACAGACGGACAGGGACCUAACAUUAAUCCAAGCGAUACUUCUACUCAACGAGAAGCAACAGAGCCCUGAGUGCAGGUUCACCAAACGAAGAGCAUCCUUAAAAGGAGCCCCGGUACCGCGAAAUGGCCGGCCAUCUCGUACGACCUCUUAGUCGCAUCGACUGAGAGGUCCUUGGCACGGCGGUCGACAGCAAAGCGAAGCCACGGACUGAGCUCAAGCGCGCAACGGUCGAAAAAAUCGGCGUCGAUGUAGAACUUCCUCACCUUGGGCGACGCCUAGAGGAUCAAGACACCGUCCACGGACGGGGAGGCGUUCCGCCAGGGGAAGGAGAAGACGAGGUCCGGGGGCGGCGGUCCAGACGGAUCGCCACCGCUUCGACAAAAACGCACGUGGGGAUAAUGCGUGCGAGGUAGGGGUGUGCAUGGUCCGGGCGGGCGGUCCGGUUCCCGGGUGGAUCAUGGAACCGAUCUUGACGUGAAUUUUUUUUAGUUUUCAACGUAAAACGGUCGCGAAACAAUUUUGGUUUCCCGGACCACCGGUCCGGUCCGGUUCCCAAGUUUUGAGCUCUAAAAUUCUAAGUUCCAAUCUCCAAAAACUAAAACAAUAAUUAAUAGACGAAUGCUCAACAUUAAAUAACAGUCAACUACACGUGAAUGAGGAAGAGGAGGAGGAGCGGUGGCGGCGUGGAUGCUCGGCGAGGAAUCGAAGACGAAGAGAAGAGACUGAGAAAGAAACAGAGAGAGAAUUGAAGAUUGAGGAAGAAACCGGAAGAGAUAAGACGCGAAUUAGGGCUUCGUAACUUUCAUUUAGUAUUUUUUUUAUUAUUAUAAAUAGGUACCGGUCCGGUCCGAGUGGGUGGGCGGGCGGUUCCGCCCACGGAACUGGGAACCGGACCGGUUCUCAACAAUUGGAACCGGGAACCGGACCGGUUCCCUCAAGAACCGCCGGUUCCGGGCGGUUCCGGUCCGGUUCCGGGUGGUCCAGGCGGUUCCUGGGUAUUUUGCACACCCCUAGUGCGAGGUCGAGGGACGAGAAGAUGUGGUGGAUCACCGAGUCAGGGGCAAGGUGGCUGGUGCGAUCGGCAUCGUCGCCUAGGGUUUCGCAUCGACGGGAGGAGGAGGAGGAGGAGGAGGAGGAGGUAGGCGAUCGCUUCGUCUUCGCCAUGUGGGGAUCGACGAUCGAACGGAGGAACCGGAAGGAGAGCCUCCUCCGAUUUGAGGGUUCAUUUCACUCGGGACUUAAGCUUCUGGCUUCCCUUAUAGAGACACGUGUCGCUCGAUGGAGAGGCAAGGCAACCACUUUCCCGCGCCUUUUAAUACGUCUACGAGCCCAUGAUGAUGGGCCUCGCACGUCUUGAAUUGCCGAGUACCGAACCUUAAUUCUUUUAAUCCGAGCUUGUCCAACAUCGGAAAAAAUCAUCAUUCAUAUAAUAAUAGAGUGUGAACAAGGUCGAGUAGGCAUACAUAAGCGAGCUUGAGCCCGCGAAAGAAAAUGUUUGCUUGAUUCCGCUUGAUUUUUGAUAUUACGCUCGGGGACUCCACUUAUAUAGUGAUAGAUAGUGAAACUUUACAAAUAUCUAUAAAAAAAAAAACAGAUAAAAUAAAAAUUAAUCAUAACUAACUUUUAUCAGAUAAUUUGUUUAUCUUAAAUUACAUUCAUGAUCAAGUAUGAUAUUUCAUGAGCUUGAAAAAUUGUCAAUGAAUGCUUCAACAUCUUGAAUUACAUCGGCUUGAAUGCAAGAAAUGACAACCCAAGCAAUUCAUAAAUCUCACCACUCUGAUGGACAUGUUCUCUUAUUUUCAAAUUGGCUAACAAGAAUGCAACUAGAGAAAACUUUCCUCGCCUCACCAUCCUCCCAAAUGCAAGGCUAUUGGCAUCCACAUUGUGUGUCGCCAUUUAGAUGGCGACUCCAUGAUUCUACUAAUUAAGGUUAUUGAGCUUAUGGCUUGAGUUCUAGCCAAAUCGAAUUUAUGUCAGAGCCAAAAAAUNNNNNNNNNNNNNNNNNNNNNNNNNNNNNNNNNNNNNNNNNNNNNNNNNNNNNNNNNNNNNNNNNNNNNNNNNNNNNNNNNNNNNNNNNNNNNNNNNNNNNNNNNNNNNNNNNNNNNNNNNNNNNNNNNNNNNNNNNNNNNNNNNNNNNNNNNNNNNNNNNNNNNNNNNNNNNNNNNNNNNNNNNNNNNNNNNNNNNNNNNNNNNNNCCAAAUAUGUUCUCCAAUGCAAAACUUGGAAAUUCGAUCUUCAUGAAUAUAGAAUUUUUUGAUUUGGGUGGAAUAGGUUGAUUUGUCCUUCCUAUUGAAAAAAAUUAGAGGUAUUCAUAACAUUUUGAAAGUGGAAAACAAAUCAAAUCAAAGCUGAGAAUGGCAUUUGCUUGGCUUCGGAAGAUACCAUGAAAAGAGGUCCAGGAAGAUUCUACUAAGCAAAAAUCCGAACAUUGUUCGGUGCAGGUAAAGUGCAAAUAGCAUUGGUAAAUAUCAAAACUAGUUGACAACUAAAUUUUGAAUGAUAACUUAUUCGGUUGGUAGCAUUUUGGUAAGUUACCAAAAUUUUUCAGAAAAUAUCAACAAUUAUUAGAACCUUUUUUUAAAAUAUAUAUUACUAUUGACAUCCAAAUAAUCUCGAUGGUUAAAGUUAGAAAAAUUCAAGAUUCAAGAUCUCAAUCAUGGCAACACUCAUUUCUUAACUUGAAAAAAAAUUAGAUUUGUAUCAGUAGUACUUUAAUUGUAUAUAGGUGUUAAUUCAACAUAAGCGUGUAGGAAUAGGCGUUUAGAUUUCAAGUUUUCAUAGAAAUGGCUUAAAAUCCUUUUUUUUUGGUCAAAUCAAAGAAUCUACCUUUGACUGAAAAAAAAAAAUAUUUCAAUAGUUUUUAAUUUUUUUUAGACAUUUUAUUUAGAAAUAGUGAAAUUUAAGUACCUACAAUCAAAUCAAAGAAAUAUCAAUUUCAAGAAUCGAUUAAUCAAUUAGAACACCAUAUUUGUUAUCAUGGAAUUUGAGCUCACACCUUUCAAGAUCGCGUCACAUGGCGCAAUUGCACAAAACUCUGUUGGAGAAUAAAAUCUGUUCUUUUCUCAUCUUGGAAGGGGUCCUUUUUUUUCUUCUUCUUUUGGCUUCUUUUUAUGUUCAAGAGGGAGGCGCCACAAGUUAAAAAAAAAAAGGGAGAAAAGAGAGAAAAAUAAGGAGGAUUGACUCUCCAUGAGUGCUGUGUAUACACCUUCACCGUCGCCCCAUCACAUCCGACCUCAUCCUCGUCACCGCAAGCUGCAUCCAUUGUUCUUGGACUUCAUUCUCUUGAGGAGUUGGAGCAAUAGUCGCCGCUACCCAUUCCGACGAUUGAAACCCACGCCAUCACUUCGAUGAGCCUCUUCAUCGCUCCUCUCGACUCCAUUAGUUGCCAAGCCAGUUGCCCUCACUAUUCCCGAGCCGCCCUUUCCUGCUCCACUAUUGCUCCCUGCCUUCCCAUCGUGAAAACCGAAGAGCCCAGAUCUCGUUCGAAGACUCCCUCACUGGUCGUUGUUCUGUUCGUAGAUAGUUGUAAAGGUUCCAAUCGCCGGUUGCGAGUGCCUAUCGUAGCCUACUUACACCACUGAUAAACUAGGCUUUCCUGCUGCCUUCAAUGAUGGUCAUCGAUGAGGAGCCACUCAAAACCUGACGGUCCGAGGGUUAAUUUUUGAGCUUGAAUAUUCCGGUUGGUUUAUCCGAUUCUACCUCCACUUUUGUUACUUACUUUUUGUGGAUGCAAUGGCCAGCGCAAUGGUUAGUCGAUGGUAGGAGACGGUGGUUCGGCGAAGAGCGGGAAUGAGUAACAGUGGUAUAGGAGUACUUUUGAGUGUGAGAUUUUGAAUGUUUCCUCCUGGUUCGGGGAAGCUUUAGAUAGCAUGAAGAUGCACCGUGAAAAGUCAUUGAAGGUGGGAGUUCUGGGAAUAGGGAGCCAAGCCUCGAAGAUGAGAUGAGGGGUGAAAAGGCGAGAAAAGGCUAAAAUGAUGAUGACAUGUCCGGUGGGGUGAGGCCCCAUACGGGGACGAGGUGGCGUUGUGGAGGGCCGGUCUUUUCCUCCGUUCCCGUCAUCCAACCCUCUCUUUUGCUAAAUUAGUAAUUGCUAAUUGCAAUGGGGAUUUAAAAAUUAGUUCCCUGGAAUGUUCUAAAUUCUCGAGGAGAGGAUGGUAUCCCUACUGCCGGAUUGCCAAUGCUGUUUCAUGGUAACGAUUUCCAGAAUGUUCCAAAUUCUCGAGGAGACGAUGGUAUCCCCACUACCGGAUUGCCAAUGCUGUUUCAUGGUAACGAUUUCCAGAAUGCCAUGUGGAGCGAUACGAUCCAUUCUUCGAGCCAAACGGACUAUACCGGGGGCGGGAGUGUCCUCGACUCUGAACCUCCCUGUGCCUCGACAUCAAGCUUCCAGUCUUGGAGUCCACUUCCUCAUCCUGAAGGCAAUCCCAUGAUGGGAGAUUCCCUAGCAAUUUAUUUAGAUGACAUUUUGGAAUGUGAUGACUUGUCAGAUCCCACAAUUCGAUGAUGAUUGUUCUGUUAGAGGUACCAGGAACGGUGGUGUUAAGUCUGAAAUUUAGCCCAAUUCUCUUUCUUCCUCAUAUCUGCAACUUUUCUCCGCGAAUUCUCAGACUCCGCUGGACCUCGCAAGCCUCCCUCCAUUGAAGCUCCAUCCAUCACAAGCUCACCAUGGGUUUGCAUUUCCCAUUGAUGCUUCUGUACCCUCCUCGCGUUUUGUCACAGCAGAGCUGGUGGCUGCAUUUUCGGCUGCUAGUGGCGUGUGCUUCUGUUUCAGCUUCAGUUCGACAAACUGCUUUGGCUUCUCAGGUUCUACUUCCAUUCGGCGUUCUUUCGUGAUCUAAUGGGUGGGUCAAAUCGAUUGUUCCGACUCGGUUUUGUGAGGUUUUGGCUCUAUUUCUUCCAAUUGGCAGUUGAAGAUGAUGGAGUGGAAUCCGGAGAAGGAUUUGCUGGCGAUAGUCACAGAGGACUCGAAGGUGGUCGGUUCUUCGCUUCGAUUGGCAGGCGCUGUAAACAAUCUCUCCUGAGUAUAGCUGAGACUAGAGAAACUUUAUUUAUUUAUUUAUUUAUUUAUCUAUUCAUUCAUUCAUUUAUUCAGGGUGUUGGAUUCAUUCAUUCAUUCAGGGUGUUGGUUUCUUCAACGAUGGGCAUUUGUGCUUCAGUAUAUUUGGUGUCUUUCCAAUCGGACAUAUCAUAAGCAUCCCGUGUGUUGAAAUCAAAUAUUUAGCAGUAUGGUAUAUUGGAUACAGCCGACACUUCAUUCUUUCCUUGUUCUGGCUUCUCAUUCAGCACUUUUUCUUAAUAAAUCAGUAUUGCCUGGAAAGUAAUAGGCUGAUUAAGUAAACAAUUAUACCAGGAAUGCUUGUGAAAGUUUCAGAUGUUUAUGCCAUUUCACAGGCUAGAUUUCACAUUCGUUGGUCGAUGACACCCUUCCAACUUGGAUACAGAACAAUUAUCUUAUUUUUGUUUGGCCUGAGGUUAGCCUGCCUUACCUACUUGCUCUACUCUAGGCUAUCGGGUUUCUGCUCUGUUCUAUGAAGAUUUCCAAUCAAUUCUCCAGGCUUGAUUUGAUUCGUCCUUAAUGUUGUACUAGGUAAGAUGAUUAUCCGUUUACUGAUAAAAUUCUUGGUAUUCUUUUCUUAGAUGAGGGCAUAUGAGUUACUCAUCUGUAUUCGGUUAUUCAUUCGUGUAUAGAACAUAUUUGUUUAAAGGCCUUCUUAAACGAAUAAACUUUUUCAUCAGCUCUUUUAAAUUUAGUUACUCUCUCUACUUUCUUAAAUCAAGCUUUACUACAUGAAUAACAUAUUAGGAGCUAAUAAAAACAUGCAAAUCGUUUGCAUUUAUGGUAGUGAGAACUCUGGUUCCUUUGAUUUGAUGAUCCUCUUUGAUCAAAGAUGUUAUGUACGCAUUUGGAAUUUGAUAUUAUUGCCAAGAGAUAAUGAUUUUAGGCUAGUAUCGAUUGAUGUAUGUGAACGUGGAUGUUCAUGGGCAGUGGAUCUUCUGGUUUGGACCAUUUGUAGGGGCACUAGCAGCUACAGUACCAUCAGCAAGUCAAGGCCCUCAAAGCAACUGCCGUCAAGGCCCUCAGCGGCAACCCUGCCCACUAAAAUCUUUCCCUUUUUCUUUUUUGCAUUUUUAUGCCCAUUUUCUAUUUUUGUGAACGAGAGACAACUAUGACGAUAGAUGGUGAUGGUGGUGAUGACGGAACCCCUCUUGAUUUAUAGAUUUAUUGAUCCCAUUUAUCAUUAUUAUUGCUGUCGUUACUGUUCAAUGAUUAGUGGUGGAAGUAUUUCCUUUUCUUUCGUAUUCUAUCUCCCUGUGAUCACGUGCGCUCCUGUCAAAACCAACCCAACAACCCCAAUCAAGUCGAGUGUAGAGACUGUGGCAGACAUAAACCCUACAUCCAGGACUCCUAACGAUGAGCAAAUAUUCGGUAUAAAACUAGAAUUGGACCUGGAACAUGCGUGAUCAGCACGAGGAUGAACAUUCCGUGCGUCUCUAAGGAAACACACCUGGUACUAACAGGAUGAGCAAAAAGUUGCUCGAACUAUAUAAUAAUAUUGAUGUGGUUUUGAGUCGGCGUCCUUCUAUCGUCGGAUGUAACAUUACAGUGUCUCGACUGAGGGCUGAAUCCCGACUAAUCCUGGCAAAAAGCCAGGGUGACAAGAGGGGGGUGGGGGAAAGAGGUGAGGCGACAAGUGCUGCGUCGAUCUACUUUCGGACUCAAAAUUGCAUCUAGCCAAUAGCACGUCCAAGUAGACAGAGAAAAUAUGAGAAAAUAUUGGAUAGAGCUAUUGUUCGGGCAAAAUGUGAAAAUGUUUAGGACUUAAUUGAUAUAAUUAAAAGGUUCAGGAUUAAAUUAAUACAAAUGCAAUAAGUUUAGGAUUAUUAUUAUUAUUAUUAUUAUUAUUUGAUAAUUUUCCCGUCAAUGCCAUGGUUCAUACAAUUCGACAUUCUGACCACUACAUGUAAAACAGGUCAAUCAAAUGAUGAAAUUUGACUUACGGAUCAAUAAUAUCACACUAAUUCAGCUCUUUUCCUCUCCUUACUCAGAUCUUACUAUUGCUUAAAAAUAACAAAAAUUCAACGACGGUUAUAGCGUAUAAUAUAUGGUCAUAAAAUCCCAUAGAGUUGCCUCCAGAAAAUUUUGCAAGCUAGGCAUUCAGAAUGCUACACAUAAAUUUACGAUGUCAUGAUGCUUCACUUGUAAUCAAAUUACAUUAUCUAAUUCUUCGUUGAGUGAAGGUGUCAAAAAUUGGCUUAUGGGGAGCGAGAUUUCGAGUACAUUUGACUUUUACAUUUAAUUCCAAGUUUUGAUAACGAUGUAUUUAGUAAUAACAACUCGAUUGAUUAAUACAUAAUACGAAAGAAAAUCAUGAUAUUCAUGAAAAUGUAAUAUUCAAUCAAAACCUUAUAAAUUAGAAAGACCAUAUAUAUGUGAAAAAUGAAAAUGCAUUAACUUAGAAUUUAAUAAAAGGAAGCAUCGAUGGCUAAAAACAAUGUAGAAGAAUGACUUCAGGAUUAGGGCAUGGGACGACUCAAAUAGGUGUUCAACGGUUGGAUUAUCGUACUUCCAAAUAAUAUUGAAAAUACUAGGUAUGUAGGAUUAUUGCUCUAGAUCCCUCCUUGACUUUAUCUUCUUUUAAUCAAGCUCAUGAGAUAUAUCAUGAUUUUAAGAAAUAUUGAAUGUUUCUGUUACUUUUUUGAAAUUACUAGGAUAGUGAAUGUUAUGAAACAAUAGUUGUAUGGACAUCGAAAAUUUUUCUAGUUGAUUUGAUUUGUUCAAAUAAAUAUUGGUGGUAUGAAAUUCUGAUUCGUAGCCUGUCAAAUGUUAGUGAUAUCACUGAAGAAAAUAGACUAGAGCAAUCGAAAAUUGAAAAAAAAAAUCUAAUUUCUAUCUGUUUUAUGCAAAAUGGACGAAUUUCCUGUAAAAUAAUAAUAAUAAUAAUAAUAACAACAAUAGCAACAGUAGCAACAACAAAAAUAAUUAUAAUUGAGCAUCUUUGGAUGUUUCAAGGCUUUGAGUAAUUUUUGGACCAUUGGGUUUACUUAUCGGGCCCAUGGAUCCAAAAUCGAGUAUCAAAGGGCAUUCACAUAAAUUUCGUCCUAAACGGGCUUCUUGGCCCAAGUGAGUUCAGCCGCUAUUUCUGUGGGUGCAAUUUCUGAUAAAGGGCUGAAACUUGCAUCGCAUUGUUACUAAGAGGUAAAAUUAUUUGGUUAUAAUAUUGGAUUGGGUAUUGGAUUUUGGAUAUACAUUGAAAAUGAUUAUGUAGGUGAACUAUUUCAAAUCACUUAUUGGUAUGUUGGAUAUCAUGUAUUGAUAUUGAAUUGAUGCACAUGGUCAACCUAUGCAUUGAGAGAUGAUAUAUAUUUCUAAAAUCGGUUCGAUUUUGGGGCUCAGCCACAAGUGAAAUGUUUUCUAGGGCUUAACUACAAGGGGCGUGGUUCUCUAGAUCUUGUAACCUACCAAAGUGUGGCCAUAGUGUUCCGAAAUGAGCAACUGGUCUAGUAUCUUUAUGCUGAGUAUUUCAAUGAUGUAUGAUGUGCGUGAUUUAACUACGGUGUUUUUGUUAAUGUGCCGCAUAAUCAUUCGCUACUCAAUUUCAUUGAAGUGGUGAUUGUUACCGCUGUAGUCAUAAUUUUGCUCACCCCUUUCGAUAUCAUUUCAGGUUGUGAGUAAAGAUACUUGAUUGAGUCACAUAAAGAGCAAUAUGAAAUGGCGUGGAACUCUAAUUAAGACUUUUUUUCUUCUUUUUUUUGUGGGUCAAAAUAAUUUAGAUCGCUUGAGUAAGGGCUAUCAUGAAACUCUCAUUUGGAUUAAUUUACGACACUCUGAACUUUGUUAACAUAUUCAUUCGGUGAAAGGUAGCUAUUAGGGGUGAGCAGCGGUCUAGGGUCGACCCUGGACCGACCCUGGACUGACCCAACCCUGCCGGUCCUGGUCCGGUUCCCAAGAGGACUGGAUCGGUCAUUGGUCCUGAAAUUCCAAGACCAACACUGUGCGGGUUAGUUCUCGGUCCUAAGAGUUUUGGGUCGGUCCAACCCUGGACCAACUCUGUAUAGUAUAUUAUAUUAUAUUAUAUUAUAUUAUUUUAUUUAUAAUUCUUUUAUAUAUUCAAAUCUAAGUAAAAUGUCUGUUAUAUUAUAUUAUAUUGAGAUGUUCUAUCAAUAUCACUAAUAGUAAUUUCAAUUUAAAACUUUUGUUGAGUAUUAAUUAUAUGUCGUUUGUUUUGUUUUCAGGUGUUUAGAAGUUCAAGUGAAUUAAUAAGAUGUGAAGUUAUAUAUAUUCAUGGUUUAUAUUAAGUAUUUUGAACUUUUUAUGAUUUAAUUGUAUUUUACUAAUGAAUUUCAACUGCACUUUGCUUUUCGAUUUGUGUCAAAUGGUAGAAGUUUUUGAAGAGUAGAGUAGUACUGCAUUUGCUAUGGUGAUUUGCUAGUCAAGUGGUGUGAAGUUCAUUUUUUUGUUGAGUGGACUCUAUAUGAUCAAAUGCAGGAAAACGCUUUUGUAUAUGAUGUUAUGAAUAUUAAAGAUAGAUGAUUACAAGAACUUUCCAUCUUGUUCCAUAUCUCGAUGAGCGGUUAGUAGGUACGAAAUUUCUAUUAUUGUGUCAUCUUAAAUUUGCUAAAUAUGUAUUGGUAUUUAUAGUUUAGUUACAUAAUGUCGCAUUGUCGAUGGAUGUAUAAUUUGAAUUUUUAGGUUUGCUUUUUUAGGGAGUAUAAAAAAUAAGACGAAAAAAAAUUAUCGAUCGGUCCCGGGUUGACCAUGGAACCGGACCAAACCCAUUAGGUCGGUCCGGUCCUUGGUCCCAAGCUCAAUAGGGUCGGUCAUCGGUCCUAAAAAUUGAGGACCGACACUGUACGGGUUGGUCCUAGGGUUAGGGGGUGGCCCGGACCAACCCGAACCAUGCUCACCCCUAGUAGCUAUCAUCGGUUGAAGGUUUUGUCCUUUAUUUUAUAGGGAAUAUUCGGUCAUUCCCUAGAUUCUAAGUUCGGAUUUGGAGCCUGGCAGUAGGUGACAUUCGCGCACGCACAUUUAUUGCGAGAUGGAAAAGUAGUCAAUGUUGAAAAGUCGACCAAACAAAAAAAAAAUAUUAAAGCAAUAGCAUCCAUAGCAACCUAAACUCUAGAUUUUAGCCAGUUUUAACUUUAGCCUCCCUUGAUUUUUUUUCUUUUUUUUUUUGAGUCGAAUGGCCUCCCUUGUUUUUUUUUUGUCAAUUCUACUCUAUUCCUACUCUACACUCACUCUCAGACUUUUGCCCUACCUCUUGCAGGGUGUGGGAGUCGAAACCCACUCCUGAAACUUACGCGUCCCCACCCCAUCCCCCCUUGAGAAGGUGGGGAUUUGAACCCCUCACCUCCCCCUUCCAUGUUAGAAGGGUGGUCACUGGGGUGAAUCCAGUGGUUGAAUGGCCUCCCAUGUUUAGCCGCCUGGAAUUGCCCUUGUUUGUUUACGUGGGUCGAGAGUGUAUUAAUAAACUUAUAUUAUCGAAAAAGAAAAAUUCAUAAUUUCCUCUUUUAGAAAACAGACAAAAUAAAUAAAAUAUUAGAGCACCGUGAGAGCACCGUGAGAGAUUAUAGAAGGAAUUCCUCCGAGCCAAAUUACUAGUAAUAGUGCUUGUAAGCACAUCUUCUAUUGGAUGAUGGGCACAACUUCAAUUUUGAAUAAAUUUUGGGACUUUAUUGAGAUAUUUCCGCGUCACCUGCCAACGUCACCGUAUUAGGGAAACGCGUCAGAGGUUAAAGCUUGAACUGCAAGAUUGGCCACGUACACCAGAAAGCCAAGCAGCCUUCAGAGUUGACAAAAUCCCCACUUCACUCGGUUUGGUUUGCAUAUGUUUAAUUUGAUCACUCCACCACCUUAUGCUAAUCCACUCGCAUUCUUUGUCUUAUUAUAAUUUGGGUUAUAAGGAAAAACCCAAAAUUAAUAUACCUUUAAUAAAUUAAUUCUAUACUAAUUUUUUGAUCACUACAAAUCCAAAACUGAUAUGAUAGAUUUAUCAUAAUUUAAUUUUUUUAAUCAUAAAAAAUAUUAAACUGAUAUAUUUGUGAUAAAUUUACUCUAUGUUAGUUUAUCUUAAAUUGGAUUAAUACUACAGAAAAUCCAAAUUGAUACAUUUGUGACGAACGGACGGCAUGUGCCAUCCAACUCAAUAAUUUGACGAUAAGCUUUAAUAGAAAUUAAUAUAAAGUAAAUUUGUUACACGUAUAGCAAUUUAGGGUUUUGGAGAGUUUAAAAAUCAGUUUGAGUAAACGUGUUACAGUGUACCAAUUCGGAAUUUAUCUUAAUAUUAACUUUUAUUAUUAUUAUUAUUAUUAUUAUUUUCAAUAUUAUAAUAAAAUUGGCCACGUCCAACGUAAAGCCAAGCUUGGAGUUUGGCCUUAUAAUCGCAUGUGAUUAGAAGUGAUUAAUGUUUUUUAGCACUAUAGAUUAUUACAAAUAGAGAUAAGUGCAUUUGAAGUUUUAAAACUUAUCAUGAAAGUGUAAUUGAGUCUUAAGAUUUUUAAAAAAUGCAAUCAAAUUUUAAAAUUUAUCAAAUUAAUGUAAUCAAAUCCUUCUGUUAAUUCCAUUACGAAAAAUGCUGACAUGACAUUCUUUGUUAUUUUCUUCUCCAAAUCUAACUUAAAUUAGAUUUUUUAAAAAUUAAAAACAUAUUAAAAAAAGAAAAAGUGCCCUCACCGGUGGGUCACCAACGCCGAAGAGGGCCGGUGGAGGUCACCGAGGCAGGCUGAAUUUUUUUGGGUCUUACAGGCUGGUGCAGCCAUUUAUUUCAUCCAGAAAGAAAGAAAUAGGGCACUUCAUGGAGGAACAUCUUCUGUUGACGGAAUUAUCAGCAAUGUUCAUUUCUCCAUUAGAGUGCAGAUGUCCUCCUUCAUUAUGUUGAGGAAGAGGGCAUUGCUGCAAGAAGAUGAGGAGUUUCCGGAUGGUAUAAUUGAUCACUCUUGGCAGCUGUGGCGGCCGCGGCGACCCAUCGGCGAGGAUCCUAUGGCUCUUUUUUAAAAUGCAAAAUAAAAUAAAAUAAAAUUUUAGAUUAUUUUAAUCUAAUUUAAGUAAGAUUUGAUGAACAAAAUAAUUAGAAAAAAGGUCACGUAGGAGAGAGAAAAUAAAUAAAAAAAUUUACAUGCCAGCGUUUUUUUUUUUUUUUGGUACCCAGGGAACCUGUGCGCCGCUUCGUGGCGGAGUAAACCCUGUGGUGACCUGGGCCCCCACGGCUGACCCAAAACCACGAAGCUUCGAACUCCUCCCCUAGCGGAUAGGGUACUAAGCACGAAGCCAACGCGGCCACCGCGGGCGGUGGUGACAUGCCAGCGUUUUCUGCUAAAUAGUUUACCAAGUUAAUGGAAAUAGUUGAGUACACUAAUUUGACAAAUUUUAGAGAUUGAUUGUGAUUUUUGAAAAUUUUAGAGCUCAAUUACAUUUUCGCAACAAGUUUUAAGGCUCCCAGUACAUCCAUCUUGACACAAAUUCAAGCAUGUCUUCAUUUAUAAAAGACUGUAGGAUAAAUUUACCUCAAAACUCACGCUGAAGGCAAAAAUAGCUUAAUUAUCUAAUAGGCUAAAGCCCGAAAAAGAAGAUAAUAAUAAAAAAAAAAAGAUGCAAUUUCAUAAUAUAAGGGGGCAAAGUGCUAAAAUCUGAGAAAAUUUAGAUUAAAAAAAAAAAAAAGACACUAGCCGGUAACGUUUCGGGGAAAUGCAUCAAGUCACAUUUCGCGGAAAGUUAUGUGCUGCAGGAUGUAUACAAAAAGAAGACGCACUGCCAAUGAUUACAAGAGAGUUUGGGUUCGUUGAUGAACUGCCUUCCCUGUCUGAUUCUCUGUCUGCUGCAGUUCUUCAGCAACCAAACUCUAGACACCUGCUUAGUUCUUGUUAAGCUUCACAGAAGAACAGGAAAACCAUGUCGAUGCAGAAGAGAGCUUUGCCUUCCUCCUCUUCUUCAGGUCAACCAAGUCAACCCAAGAGGCCAUGCUUGCCUCCAAUCGAGUAAGCUCGCUCUUUCCUCUUAACCUUUCAAUGUUUGAUUCAUUGUUUGAUGAUCUUGCGUUAGUUUUAGCUGUACUUGAGGGAGAUUCAAUGAAGGGUUGUUGAGUUGAAGAUUCUUGAAAUGAGAGAUACGGUGAAAGCCCGCCAUCGAUAAGCUUUUGCCUCAUGACCGUUCGAAAUCGCUUUCGUUCAGUUCUUUGUUGGUGGGUUUGUGCUGUUGUUCUAAUGCGAAGAAUUAAAGACCAUGAAUGUUGUCGUCCCGGCUGUUUUGUGAUUUCGCGUUUGGCAAUCGCAGUACUUCCUCCUGAAUCUAGCUGUAUUCUUGGUAGAAUCAUUUGCCUGGCAAGUGAGCUGUUAUCUUUACCAGGUUACUUUGCUAUCCUGUAGUCUAAAAUAUCCUAUCUCGCUUUUAAUUUUGUGCUGAUGUUCAUGCAGUCAAGCAUGGAAUGGGUCUGAGACGAAUCUCAUGCCAUGUCGCUGUUUGACAAAGGAGGAUGUGUGGAGUGUGGUAAGAUGAGUAAAGUAGCCAACUAGAUCAUGCAAAGUGCAGUCCUUAUUAUAUUUCAAUUCCUGAUCUCUUUUGAGUUGAGCAGUUAGAUGAAUUUCUAACAUUCCAGUCAGUUUCUGGAUGGAAAUCCGUAUGAGAAAUAGCUGUGAGAUGUAUAGAGAAUUAUUCUUUGUGUGGUAAAAAUGACCCGUUGAAUAUUCUAGGCUUUUCAUGUGAAGCAAUUGCACUGAGAACAUGCUUUAGGCUUUUCAUGUUGUUUUGGAUAGUAUGAAUCACAAAAAGAUCCAAAUUUUCAAUGAAGUGCCCUGGACAUAACUGUCGCCAUGAAUCUUGGAAAUGUGGUCGAUAUUAAUUUAAAUGUAGAAGGAGGACAAAGAAGAUGCCUGUGAUGUGAAACUUGAAUGCAAUGAUUACAUGACAGAUGAUUCUUGCAACGUAAUUCUUUGCUAUCACUCUUUGCUAAACAGGUUAGAGAAGUGCUGGAGCGGGCUAAGUCUCACUCGCCUGAAUGUCAAAGGUGAAUAUAUUUCUUGGGUUCACUGGCAGUAUCUUAUCUGCAUCAAUCGAUUCCUCCAGUAGAAUUUCCAUUUGUGUUGUCUCGCCAUAUGAAAAUAUCAUCAGAUUCUCAUAUGCCAUCAAUCCAUGAUUCUUUUAGGCAAAGGGGAAUACCUGCAGACACUUUUUUUUGUUAAUCACUGAAAAGACUCUGCAGUUGUAGAUAGCUGCUAAUUAACUUUACUGGCUUCUUUUAUAACUGUACUGGAUAAAUACGUAUUCCAGCUUCAUGUCAAAUUUUUUUUUUUUUUAGUGUAGUAUCUAUGUUUUUAUCCUGUAAUUAGGUCUGACAUUUAUUUGGACUAGUGAAUAAUAUGUUACAUAUGGAUAUUUGUCUAUUGGUUACGAAUGAGUCCGCUAGACAGCAUUUAUUCAGAGUGUAAUUUACAUGUGUAGUUGCACUGGGCAUGCUCUUGAAGUGGUUGCGCAACGGUUGCACUCAAUAGAGUAUGCUGUUCAGAAACUGGUAAGAUAAACAGAGUCUAUAAAUUUAUUGGUUUGUCUCUGUCAUAUCCCUUCUGCUUCAUUUUUUGGAUGUCUCCAACUUUGGCAAUUCUACUGUUGGUGGUUUUGAACAGAUGGAAGCAGUGGAGCUUGGAAACAUUCAUUCUCCCCAACUUGCGAGGUAUGAAUGCACUUCCCUCGUGAUGCUGUUGAGAAAGGCUUUCUGUGUAGUGUUGACGGGUUAUGCAUUGUUGAUGUUUUGGGGAAUAAUGGUCCGACCUACCGCUACCAUCCCAAGCAGGCAGUCUGAGCUCUCAGUGAGUGUCAGGCCACAAUGACUCGGUCGUGCACAAAAGUGUCAAUGCUCAAUUUAGAACAUAAUUUUUGUGGCAUGCGAGCAGUGGAACAUUUUAUUUUAUUUUACUUCAUUUUUUUUUAAAUGUGCAUUAUUAAACAAAUAAAAUGAUGGGUCUAAUUAUCCUUGUAGUAAGACCUGUCCAAGUGAGAUGUUGGGUAUUUUGUCUCUCUUCGUCGUUACUUCUCCAAUUUUCUGUUUUUAUACACAUUCCUAUUUCUGAUAGUUAUUUUCUGGAGAGAAUGCAGGGCUAAUGCUAAUUCUACGGGAGAGAAUGAUGUAAGAAACUUACAGCUUCAAGUUCAAACCAAACUGUCAGAUUCUCUAUUUACUGGACAGAAGCUAGAAGGAGAGGGGGGUGCUCGCAUUUCUGUUGCCUUGAUCAAUACAAAUACAGGGGAUGUUGUUAGAUCAGGCCUGGAAUCCUCCAUUAAGUUGGACGUCGUCGUGCUUGAAGGUGACUUCCACAAAGAUGAUGAGGAUAACUGGACCCAAGAAGAGUUUGAGAGCCACGUGGUUAAACAACGUGAAGGAAAGAGGCCGCUUUUGGCUGGAGAUCUCGUAGUGAAGCUCAAGGAAGGUGUUGGGGAGAUGGGAGAACUGAUAUUUACUGACAAUUCCAGUUGGGAUAGGAGUAAAAGAUUCAGAAUAGGGCUUAAGGUGGCAACGGGUGGUUGUGGGAACACACGAAUCCGAGAAGCAAAAACAGACGCCUUCCAAGUCAAGGAACAUAGAGGGGAAGGUAGGUCCUUCAUAGUCUUUCUACAGUAUAUAAACCUUAUCCUUUAUGACUGAACAUAAACAUGAUUUUGGACAUCCAGAGUCUUCAAUUUUUUAAUUUGGAGCUUCAUUUCGUGUGGACCUUUACAACUCGAACAAAGAUUUUGAGCAAUUCAGAAUAUUUCCCAAGAGAGACUAGAGAAAAACACGUCCUGAUGAUAAAUGAAUGUUUCAGGAGGAAUAUCUAGUUGAGAAGUAAUGAGGGUAACGUUCAAGUAACAACAUAGAAAACUCACUUCGACAUCAUGCGGUAAAACUGUACCGUCUUCAAGUCCCAAGAGAACAACCUUGCCAUCAGGACACCGGCAUAAUGAUGUUAUACAUUUACCUGGAGCAGAUUAGAAUAAUGAUUAAGAGAAGCUAGUAUUGACGACACACAUUGAAAUGUGCAAAGAAAGUGAAUUCAUUGUAAACGAGAGAGAGAGAGAGAGAGAGAGAGAGAGAGAGAGAGAGAGAGAGAGAGAGAGAGAGAGAGAGAGAGAGAGAGAGAGCAAAGAAAGUGAAUUCAUUGUAAACGAGAGAGAGAGAGAGAGAGAGAGAGAGAGAGAGAGAGAGAGAGAGUAUUUUAUCCCAAUAAAAUUAAUAGAAGAAGAGGAAAGAUAGAGGACAGACAUUAACCAACAAAAUGUUAAUCAAAAUUUAUGAAGUGAGGGAAAAAUGUAAUAAAUGUACAAAAUAGCUGAGAGGGAUAUUAGUCACUCGAUAUGGGAUUUCUUUGAGCUAGUAGGUCAUCUAAAGCAAGGGAGUCUAUAUCUUGUUGGCAGCCUCCACAUCCAAUAUCAUCAUAAAACAAACCUUUUUGUUCAAUUAUGGAACCUCAAGGUGAAGUGGUUGCACGAAAAAUUACUUCAGGCGAGGAUUACAAGUGUAAUAGUAUUUACAACUUAGGAUCUUAAGAGAAACCAUUCAAGGAUUGGCUCUAGUACUAUAGUGCACUCAAAACAUUCUCCAUAUCCAGAAGACAAUAUGAUGAGCGAAGCAUUGAGAUGUUUCCAGAGAAAAAAUCUCCUCUCCAAAUUUUUCCGGUGAGAAUAGACAUGAAGGACUACCAAGGCUAGGCAUCUAACUAAGUUCUUACAACUUUGAAUUACGAAAAGAUUAAGUCAUAUAGGAACCCAACAUACUUGGAUGUAGCUCCCCUGACCCUCCUAGUCCUUUUGCUUUCUCCAAUUUCUCCGAAAGAACGCCGAGCAAGAGCCGAACCUGAGAAGCCAGGCGGUUUGUCGAACUGAAGCUGAAACAGAAGCACACGCCGCGACCCUGCCUCGUCUCCAUAGCUAGAAAGCUCUGCUGGAGAAGUUGAAGAGCGAGACAAAGAAGGGAAGAGCGGGAGCGAGGUCCAUUGAAGCCUGAAAAUUCGCGGAGAAAGUUGCAGAAGGGGAACAAACGAGAGUCAAAAUAAGGAAGGAAGAGAGAGAUGGGAAUUGGGCCGUAAAAGGCCGCCACGGGAUCAACUAGGCUGGGCCGGACUUUGUAGCCCUGCCAAACAACGCCCGAAAGUGGUGGAUUAGUUAUUGACACGUAAUUUGGAAAAAGCAAUGUGAUCAUCCUCAUUUACUUUUGGAUUAAAAAAUGCUAAUGAAUUAUUCAAAUCGCAUCUCAUCAUCAAUAACAAAAAUUCACGCAUGCUUAAAUGGAGAUGAUGGGCCAAGCUUGAAUCCGACCAAGCCAUUUGCCAUCACCACCCAAGCUCUUAACGCUCGACCGAAUACAAAUACUCGACCAAGCCCCAAUUGGUGAGUUUUAUGCUAAACUCCUGUUAUAAGGUGCACACGUGCGUCAAUGAUACAGUAGGAAGAAAAAAAAGAGAUCUAAUGUCUUCUUUUUCUCUUUUAACAAAAUUAGACAAUUCACCCUGUUAAAAGGUAUAGCUUUGCUAUAUUAGGAAAAUCCCAUUUCUCUACUCGUGUACCUCUGCCGCAAGUGAUAAAACCUAAGCACAUUCAACAAUUGAAAGGCAAAAGAAUAAGACAGUUUACUCUUCCUUCCAAAUACAGUUUAAAAAACCCGGCAAGUAUAUGCUUUGCGAACACUUUUGGUUCCCACCUAUGUGACAAAUUGAGUGACUAAAGCUUUUGAGUGUUGAAAUAGUAGAACUUAUAUACUAAUUCUAGUCAACAAUUGCUUUUUCGGUCUUUUAAAAAACAGGACACAACAACUUUCCAUUGAUAAUUUACUAUCAUCUUUGGAAUGAUGGUUAUGCACUACUGAGCACAGGAAAUAGAAUGACCCCAAACCAGCUGCUCUUUCUUUGGUCCUUUGGUAGUUAUUCUAAAGGCACGAUGUGUAUUUGCACCAGUGGUCAUCAGAGUAGCAAACGAUGCAAACCAGAUUCCUUGUGCUAAAGUUUGGAAUGAAUUUCCUUAACUUGAGUAAGAGGGAACAUGAAUUAUCCAUAAGUAUGAACCAAAUGGGUUAAAUUUGAAAUAAAAAAACAAUCUGCUCACCUGAAGGCACCAACUACCAAUCAAAAGCUUGGUCACGUUCUGUAGCUUCUGAAGCAGUCCCUCAACCAGGUUGCAAUACCCUCUGUAAGACUCGAACCGAUUUUGAACAAAACAAUCAGUUGGCCUUCCCAAAUCCUUGCCCCUCAUAAAAAUGUUCGAAUUUGCUUCAAUCAAGGAUUGAGACUUCCGUUACCAGCUGCCUCAUCAUACCAGAAAAUCCUCUCAAACAGCAACAGAGGACUCGAAAUCUCCAAGGGAAAACCCUCAUCAAGUGCAUACCGAAAGCAGCUAUUGACCGCAAUUUCCCUCAAAGUUCUCGAACAAACCUUGAUGGUUCGCUUUAAACCGUAGCAUCCUUCCAAACUAAGGUACUCGAGAACAGGGCUGCCAUUCGACAUCUCGUGCAUCACCUCCGAGUCACAGAUGGACAGGGACCUAAGAUCAAUCCAAGUGAUACUUCUACUCAACGAGAAGCAACAGAGCCCCGAGUGCAGGUUCACCAAACGAAGAGCAUCCAUAAAAGGAGCAGCGGUACUGCGAAAUGGCCGGCCAUCUCGCACAACCUCGUAGUCACAUCGACUGAGAGGUCCUUGACGCGGCGGUCGACAGCAAAGCGAAGCCACGGACUGAGCUCAGGCGCGCAACGGUCGAGAAAAUCGGCGUCGACGUGGAACUUCCUCACCUUGGGCGACGCCUAGAGGAUCAAGACGCCGUCCACGGACGGGGAGGAGUUCCGCCAGGGGAGGGAGAGGACGAGGUCCGGGCCGGCGGUCCAGACGGAUCGCCACCGCUUCGACAAAAACGCACGUGCGGACAAUGCGUGCGAGGUCGAGGAACGAGAAGAUGUGAUGGAUCACCGAGUCGGGGGCAAGGUGGCUGGUGCGAUCGGCAUCGUCGCCUAGGGUUUCGCAUCGACGAGAGGAGGAGGAGGAGGAGGAGGAGGAGGUCGGCGAUCGCUUCGUCUUCGCCAUGUGGGGAUCGACGAUCGAAGGGAGGAACCGGAAGGAGAGCCUCCUCCGAUUUGAGGGUUCAUUUCACUCGGACUUAAGUUUCUGGCUUCCCGUAUAGAGACACGUGUCGCUCGAUGGAGAGGCAACCACUUUCCCGCGCCUUUUAAUACACCUACGAGCCCAUGAUGAUGGGCCUCGCACGUCUUGAAUUGCCGAGUACCGAACCCUAAUUUGUUUAAUCCGAGCUUGUCCGACAUCUGAAAAAAUCAUCAUUCACAUAAUAAUCGAGUAUGAACAAGAUCGAGUAGGCGUACAUAAGCAAGCUUGGCCGCGACCCUGGGCGAGGCCGAGCAGCCCUCGCCAGCUGUCGAGGCUGGCCUCGCCCAGAUCCAAGCGAAGUCGGCCGGCCAAAAUUGGCCGGAUGGACUGAAUUGUACUAAUAGUAAAAGGUUUAGGACUAAAUUGAUCCAAUUGAAAAGUUUAAGAUUGAAUUGGUACCAAUGCAAUAGGUUUAGAACUUUUUUGGCACUUUUCCCGGAUUGCGUCACAUGGCAUAAUUACACAAAACUCUGUUGGAAAAAGAAAAAGAAAACUAUCCUUUUUCUCAUCUUGGAAGGGGUCUUCUUUUUUUUCUUUUUUCUUUUUUUUUUCUUCUUUUUACAUUCAAGAGGGAGGCGCCACAAAUUAAAAAAAGAGGGGGAAAAGAGAGAAAAACAAGGAGGAUUGACUCUUCAUGAGCGCUGUGUAUACACCUUCACUGUCGCCCCAUCGUCAUCCGACCUCAUCCUUGUCACCGCAAGCUAUAUCCAUUGUUCUUGGACUUCAUUCUCUUGAGGAGUUGGAGCAAUAGUCGCCGCUGCCCAUUCCGACGACUGAGACCCACGCCAUUGCUUUGAUGAGCCUCGCCAUCACUCCUCUCGACACCAUUAGUUGUCAAGCCGCUUGCCCUUGCUGUUCCCGAGCCACUCUUUCCUGCUUCACUAUUGCUCCUUGCCUUCCCCAUCGUGAAAAUCGAAGAGCCCAGAUCUCGUCCGAAGACUCCCUCGUCGGUCGUUGUUUGGUUCAUAGACAGUUGUAAAGAUUCCAAUCGCCAGUUGCGAGUGCCUGCCGUAGCCUAGUUACACCACUAAUAAACCAGGCCUUCUUGCUACCUUCAACGACGGUCAUCAAUGAGGAGUUGCUCAAAACCCAACGGUCUGAGGGUUAAUUUUUAAGCUCGAAUAUUCCGAUUGGUUUAUCCGAUUGUAUCUCCGUUUUUGUUCCUUACUUUUUGUGGAUGCAAUGACCUGCGUAAUGGUUAGCCGAUAGUUGGAGCUGGGGGUUCAGUGAAGAGCAGGAAUGAGUAACGGGGUAUGGGAGUACUUUUGAGCGUAAGGUUUUGAAUGUUUCCUGCUGGUUCAGUGACGGUUUACAUGUUAAUCUGUAGGCAUGAAGAUUCACUACGAAAUUCAUUGAAGGUGGGAGUUUUGGGAAUAGGGAGCCAGGCCUCAAAGAUGAGGGAUGAAAAGGCUAAAGGAUUAUAUAUAUAUAUAUAUUUUUUUUUUCCAAAAGGAGUAAAUGAUGUCGUCGGGUGAGGCCAGUCUUUCCCUUUGUUCCUGUCGGUCCAACCCUCUCUUUUGCUAAUUGCUAAUUGCAAUGGGGAUUGGGCCCCACUUUAUCUACUUUUCAAGUUUUCAUCUGCCUUUUUCUUUUUCCUUCAUUCCUGUCUUUUUUUUUUUUUAAUAAUGUGCGGGGUUGCGAUUGAGUUGGGUUUGCAGGGGCGUACAUACCCAUCACUAACUUUAAUAGAAAAUUACAGGCUCCUAUUUCAGUUCAGUUACCGGCAUUUAUUGGAUUGUUUUGGAUAUUAUCGAUUGCGCCAUUGAGUUAGCCACAUUUAUUUUUUAAAGUUACUAACUCUUAUAGGAUAUUAUUACUCUUGAUUUGGGUAAAUUAGCAACUUUUCAAGGGGUAAGUCACUAACUUAUUUUAGCUUUACUAAGUUCUAAAUUACCAACCAUUUACUUGAUUUCUUUUUUCAAAAUUUUCACCGGUUUGAAUAAUUUUACUAUCAUUUAUUUAUAGUGGUUAUCGGCGUAGUAAAUUUACUAACCCUUGAAGUUACUAACUCUCAUAUGUGAGAUGUUAGUUUAUAUGAUUUUGUGCUAAUCGGCAUAAUCAUCAUCCACAUAGCAUGUUUUUAUUGAGCGCAAAAACACUCAAUUAACUCAAGGUCGUGAUUCGUUUUAUGAGUAAGUUUGUUGUGACAAAAGGGUGCCUCUACAGCCUAAAGUCAAGAUCUAAAAAGUUGAAGAGAAACUUUGGAUCCAAAGAGAGACCAACACAUUUUCAAAACAGAACAAUACCAAGGAUACAAAGAGUACCUUACAAAACUUAUUUGAAGUGAUAAAAUCCAAGUAUUUAGGCAAGUAUAUCACGAACACCUAACACAAAAAUAUUUCGCAUGUGACUUAGUAAACCAUUUUCAUUUACUUGGACAUAACAUCUUCAGCAUUACUCUACCAAAAAAUGGUGUUCAACUUAAAAAAAUGGCAGUCUAAAUGGAAAAAUAGUUGGUAAAAAAUAUAUAAACUAAUGAAUUCCCACAUCUAAGCACGUGAACAAAUUGUUGUGAACAGAGGCUCUCAUAACCAAGGUAAAGCAUCACAGAUGAGAUCAACAUUGACUCAAUUCACUAUCUUCCGAGCACCCACCGGUUAUUUUAUCUACUCAUUUUCUUCUAAUAACCGAGUUUUCAUUCUCAAUGUUAGCUUGUUGACAGUAAUAAUACCAUAGGAAAGCAGAGUUUCACUUACUACAUCGAGUCCAAGGAGUGGAAUUGGUAGUAUAAAUAAGUCUUAACUUCUCCUAGGCUCAAAUAGUGCUAUUAGCAGGUGAAAAGAGUUUAAUGUGAUUCAUUGAUACAAAGAUUGACUCUUGCAAUUAUGAGGGAUACAUGCACAAAAUGUGAGAAACUUUCCAGCCUUUAUCAAAUCUCUCCUUGCAAGGAACGCCUAACCAGUACAAGAAGAGUAGCUGGAAGUAAUAUUACACCGUGAGAGUCACAAACAAAAAUCAAAGGAAAACUAUAUAGAUGCAUGAUGACAUUGAGAUGGUAUUGCAGGGGUUAAACCUACCGACUCCAUGUGAGCAUCUAGCAUUUCUGCAUUUGACAUAGCUAGUCUAUCUAACAUAAAUGACAUCCCCUCCGAUUCAAGUUCUUUAUCUUUGUGAACACUUUGACUGGCGUACCAAAAAGGGCAGCAAGGUGGCAAUACAGGAGUAGGGUACACUUCCAGUUGGUCUAGAUGAUUGUCAGUUAUGUUUUGGAAAUCUCCUAAGGCAACAAUCUCGUCUAGAAGUUUAUAGGAAUCUAUCGCGAGUGUAAAUAAAAAUCCCUUCAUUCAACUAAUAUCAGCUCAAAAUUCUUUACUUGCAACUACGUCAUAUCCAAAUUUUCACUCCCAUUACCAUCAUUCACUCUUCAUUCUUGUGUAAAACACAACUCCUCAGUUCAACGUCAUGUUCUCAUUUAGACUUUCAAGCACCUUACCCCUAUAUUCACCAACUCUCCAUCAAACGCAAUUUGAAUGGGGUUGGCAAUUGAAGUGGUUUAUUUGAGGAAAAGGAUCGUAGCACAUUUAAGGAAAAGCAAAGGGAGACUAAGGCCAAUGACUCAAAGGGCACAUACCAAGCCAUUGUUGAAGAAACGAACACACUGAAUAACAAAAAAGGAGAACUCUCUCUAGUCGAAGCAAUUACCAGGAGAGAUUGUCCACAGCCUUUGCCAAUUGAAGCGAUGAAGCACCACCUUUGAGUCCUCCAUGACCAUCACCAGCAAAUCCUUCUACGGAUUCCACUCCGCCAUCUUCACCUGCCAAUUGGAAGAAACCGAGCAAAAACCUCACGAAACCGAAUGCGAAAACAAUUGAGUCGACCCGCCCAUUAUUUUGACGCAAAAGAAGGCGGACCGGAGCCAAACCUGAGAAUGAUCCUGUGCCAAUCAUAUUUAAACUUAAGAAUAGCUUGUAAAGUGGAAACUUAGUACGGUGCAUGCAUAAGAUUAAAUCAGUUCCACCACCCAGCCAAUGAGAUAUACUUGUUACUGACACUAGCAAGUUUAUCAAACGAUGAUACAAAUAGGAAAGACUAUGGGCAACAAUAAGUUACCAAACGUCCAAACUGCAAAUGGACAUGGUAAGAAACUCAAGGAAAAUAGUUUUUUGAGUAUAUGAUUGAUGGCAUGGCAAUGAAUUGAUCCUUAGCUCGAUUGUGUGGGCAGUGUGAAAAAUUGUUACCACUAAUUGACUAGGGGGGAUUGCAGUAUGGUUCUCAUUCUCCAUCUCUAGGUGUAAAAUAAAGUCCUAGAUGUGUAAUUUCCCUGGGUUAGUGUUUCAAAAGUGAGAAUAAGACAACCAAGAAAUAGUGUUCUCAUAAAAUAGAAGCAAAAGUGGCACUACUAAUACAUUAGGGUCAUCAACUGCACAUUUCUGAACAUACAUACGAGGCUCCAACUGUGGAGAUAUGCUGGAGCUUUUGAAGCUAUGGUAAGUGAGAAAGUGAAACAUCCUUUAAUAUUGCACGCAUAUACUGGCAUGUAUAUGCACAUAGGAGGAAAAACUAAGCUGCUGCCACUUGUGCUGAUGAGGAGAGCAAAUACAUAGUAAAUAGGAAGAACAAAAGAACAAAAGUUUAUAAAACUAGACUAGUGGUUCAACCAGUCAAACUUGAGAAUCGUACUCUACCAGUUCAACCAGUUGAACCGAUUGCAUGUGACGUUAUCUAGUAGAAUAUGCAUGUUCAGAACAAAAGAAGCCCUGGUCACUCGGCAGACCUACUUGAGCACAAAAGAUUGGAUUACGGUUCUCAAAAGCAUUGUUUUAAUUUCUAAUAGACUAAGCCAAUAUAGUCAAUAAAUAAAUUAUCCGCCACAAAAAGAAGCAAAAGGACACGCGGAGCAAAUGGUUGGCAUGCCUGUUAGUAACAAGAGAUUGGAGUUCCAAACCCCAACCCAUUUUCUCGAGAGAGAUAUCUACAACUCAUCUAAAGGAAUUACUUUUGAGAAAGAAAUCCACGUACUUUCUAAUGGUAUGGAGAAUACAAUAUAUAUGUGUCAUGGUUCAUUUUGUACUUAGAGGAAGUCGCUAGAUCUCUUAUAAUGAUUUAAAAUAAUUGAUUUAGAGGGACAAAUUGUAAAAAUAGUAGCCACUGUGACGCAUGAUGAAGAGUUGAAGACGCUUUAGAGUUGAUUCCCCAUGUGGUGUGCCGCAGUACCAUAUCGAAUAGCAGUUGCCCAAUGUACUUCAUAUUCUACAAAGCAUGCCGAGGUGAUGGAUAGGAAGAUGUCGAAUGGAUCGGAGAUAUCGGUCAAGAUCAUCAAACUUAUAAGCACGAUAACCCAAACAGAGGGAGUUCGACAUACGAAAGUUGCGUAUAUGUGUUUAACCAAAUCAAAAUGGGGACUUCCAUUAUUAUUCCGUCUCAGGAAAAUUGUCCAAAAAGCCCUAAACCUAUCACACUUUUUGUCAAUUCCAUCGUAAACUUUUCAAUUUUGCUAAUUGAGUCCUAAACUUUUUCAUCUUUUGCCAAGUUCAUACAGUUAAUUUUGGCCGGAAUUUGCUAAUGUGGAUGGUUGGUACUGACAUGGCACUUUUUAAAUGAUAUUUUAAUAAUAUUUUGAAAAUUUUUAUGGUCUUUUUUUUUUCUUUUAUUACAUUUUUUGCUUUUAUUUUUGGGUUUUGGAGUUAGGUUGGUGAGGGUGGCCGACUGACCUAGGUCGAGGGCUUGCACGCCCUCGCUUUGGCCAGCAAGGGCGUCAUGACCUCGCCAGCAUAACUCCACCCCCCCCCCCCCAAAAAAAAACCAUAAAAAAUUCAAAAUAUUAUCAAAAUAUUAUUAAAAAAAGUGACACUUCAAUGCCGAUCAUCCACGUUAGUAAAUUUCAGUCAAAAUUGACUAGAUAGGCUCAAUUGGGAAAAUAUAAAAAGGUUUACGACUCAACUAGCAUAAAUGAAAGGUUUAAAAUUGAAUUAACAAAAAUUCAAUAAGUUUAUGACUUUUUGAACAAUUUUCCCCUCCCUCUCUCUCAUAGGCACACUAUGCUUGUGGAACUAUUCUGAGUUCAAGAUGAAACACAUUAUAAGAUUAGAGUGUAUAUCGUAGUCAAUUCCAAGGGAUUACAAUGGGCAUAGACCACGGAAUUUGCCAAAGUCACUUGCCCUCACCGUGGCAAAAGGAAAAGGGAAAAAAAUCAGAAAAAUUAAUAAAAAAUUGUAAACAUUAUCCACGUUGGCAAUCUCUGCUCAAAAUUUGACUAGGUGGAUUACGUUGGUAAAUCCUCCAAAGGUUUAGAACUCAAUUAGCCAAAUUUAAAAGUUUAUGAUUGAAUUGAUGCAAACACAAUAGGCUUAAUACUUUCUUGGUAAUUUUUCCUAAUAUUGUGUGCCGAACAUUCAAUACUCAUUUGGCUUGAAAGGAUGUCAAGUGUUUCCACACUUUGAAUAGCUAAAACUCACUUUCACUUAGGUGAUGCCAAGUGGAUAUUGACAGUAUAUUUUUACCACUAAGUAGAUAUGAAAAGAUGUAAUAAGCACAUGGCAACAUGUUUCUGUAUGCAUUUUUAUCAAUAAGUGACAAGAAAAUCACAUUAGAAAAGAAGAUUGGUUGGUUAAACUAAUAUGAGGGCACAUUAGGUACUCGUCUGUAUUUGACCCCAUCAUCAUUAAUAAAGUUAUUCUUUUGUGUAUAGAUCAGCUUUGUUGUCUUCUUAAGUGACUAAUUUUCCGAUUAGAGUCCCAUGUAUUAAGUCUUGCCAGUUUGCCGCUAUCCACAGGCAGUAAAGCUAUUUUUGGGAACACACACUAUUGAGACAUGAUGCUAAAUUACCUUGAUAUUCUCUUAUCAUUCGGACGGUUAGUAUUAUAAUGAUGUUGAGUUACAAAUGAUCAUUAGUUCUAUUAUUACAGAGAAUAGUGGCAGAAGUAAAUUUUAUGAGGCUCUACAAUGGCUAUAAAUAGAAGGUUUAGCCAAAGGUGUCUGGUGCGAUAGACACAAGUUAUCUUCUUCGACAAUUCCUAUGAAUAGUAAAGCAUCUUCCUUAGCCGUACUUCUUUUCCUAGCCUUCUCUUCUUAUUCUCUCGGUCCUCGAAACUUUUGACGACAAUUUCUCCAAAAUGAGCUUGUGUAAAACGGGUCAUGGAAUUUAAUGUUUACAUGGGAUUUGCACUGGCAGCGGACCAAUUAACGAUCAUUUAUUUUGUUGAUAAUGUUAUUGUCCCAUCUUAUAAUUAAUGUUAAAUGUCACUAUUUCUGCACUUGCAUUAGGAAGAAUACAUUGAAGACGUGAAGAUAUGGAAGAGCUAUAAACAAAGGAGGAGUUAAUUUUAGGGUAAAUUCAGCUGAAGUUCCCAAAGAGCUAUCAUCACAACAAAUAAUAAACAUAAGAAAAGAAGUAUCACAAAUGCACAUGUUACAUUCAUGCAUACUUUCUUCUGGAGAUUGGCAAUAAUUCCGAGAGAAAGAAUGCUACAAUUAAAAAAUUAUUGAUUCCUGAAUGUACAUAAUUGAAUUAAAAGACUCCAUGAUGCCCUUUAUUAAGGAUACAAAGUUUAUUCAUGAUGCUGUAGACAGAAUCUCAUUAUCUUAAACCUACCAUCUAUUUGAGGGCUCCAAAUAUUUGAGAUCGAAAUAUAGCCUAUGUUCUUUACUGCCAAAUUGAAACCAUAUAUCUGGCUAGUCAUGUUACCCGCAAAAUUGUAUUAUCUACACCGGAUUGCAUGCGUCACUUAACAAUGACACGUGGAGAGGAGCAAGUCGAUUUCGCGUAAGAGAUCUCAACAUUCAAAUGCAGAGUUCGUUAGUCAAGUACACUGCCCGAACCAUUCAGCCCAAAGUGUAGAUAAUCCAAACCAAACAAUUGGUUCUCUUACACAUGAAAAUAGUGAACAUAUACAGAUGAAGCAAAAGCUUGGCACUAUCGAGCAGGUCUCAAAGCUUACAGCAAUACCAUGACAAUAGUUACCAUUAGAUAGAAGCCGUGAUUCAGCAUCUUUUGGUCAAUUCCAUCCCACUCGAUAGAUAAAUCGCUACAUUUUACUCCACUUUUUUUUUUUUAUCGACAAAUACCCACCUAGCAGAAAAGGCACAUGGCAGGUAUGGAUUAAGACUUCUCCAGAAAGGGUGAAGUCGAAGAGCAUCAGUCAUUAAGCCCACAUGCAUUGCUUCUCACACCAAUGUUUGUAGCUCCAAGUAUGAGAGGUCCACCCACAGCAGCAACAUAAGCAUAACCACCACAAACUCUUGAACAGACAGUCAUUCCGAAUAAGAGAUAUCUUCUUCAUACUCCUCCAGUAUGUAGAUCAGGGCCCACUUUCUUGCAGCUAAAACACAAGCCACACCUCUACCUCCCAUUGCCAAAAAAAAAAGAUCAACUUCAUUUCAGUCCAGUGUUCCUUGAAUGUAUGGCCAUAACUAACAUGAUGUUUAGAUACCUUUGUUGGGUAAAAGUAAAAUUACAACACAUGCAUUAUGCUAAAACACAGGCAGGAAGCAAACUUUGUUUGCCUAAAGAGGCUACAGCAUGCAUAUAACUAUGAAUGCUCCACAGUAUCUUGCUACACUAGAUGCCAUGAUAGUAUCUAUCUUGCUACACUAGAUGCCAUGAUAGUAUCUAUGGUCAUGGACUUGUAAAUAGUGGUUCUCAGUCAGUCAGUAAGUAACUCAAGACUGCUAUGCACCUACCAUGAGAGAAUGAUUAUUCAUUUUGUAUUUGUCUGGUGACUAUUAAGUCAUUUAGCACUUUCUCCUCUCAAUUGAUUUAAAAUUUAGGGGAAAACUAAUACUUCACUUUUUUUACUUCUUCAACUAAAAAAUAUUCUUCUUUGGAGCAUAUUUUUGCACUUCUUCAAUCUAUAGGGACAAACAUGAAGUGGUAUGUUAAAGAGGCACAAUGUACCUAUGCCAGUCACAUUUGAACUUAAUAGAAGGUUCUAAGUGGAAAUGUAGUAAGGAGCAUGGACAGGAUUAAUUCAAUUCCAAUACCCAGCCAACGAGAUAAAUUUGUACGACACUGGCAAGUUUAUCAAACAUUGAUCACUAAGUAAAGAGUAUGGGCGACAAUAAGUUUCCAGACAUCUAAAACUGCAAAUGGACAUGGCAAGAAGCCCAAAAAAAAAAAAAAACCUUCAGAACUAUACAAUUGUUGGCGUAGCAAUGAAUUGAUCCUUAGCUUGAUGGUAUGACAAUGUCAAAAUGUUCUUACCACCAAUUGACAAGGGAGAACUACAGGACGGGGAAUGCUACGAAGCUUCUCAUUCUCCAUCUCCAGGCAUAAGAUAUGGUCCUAGAUGUGCAAUUUCACGGGAUUAGUGUUUCAGAAGUGAGAAUAAUACAAUCGAGCAAAAAUAUCCUAACAAAAUAGAAGCAAAAAGGGCACUACUAAACCAUUAGGGCCAUCAAAGGCACANNNNNNNNNNNNNNNNNNNNNNNNNNNNNNNNNNNNNNNNNNNNNNNNNNNNNNNNNNNNNNNNNNNNNNNNNNNNNNNNNNNNNNNNNNNNNNNNNNNNNNNNNNNNNNNNNNNNNNNNNNNNNNNNNNNNNNNNNNNNNNNNNNNNNNNNNNNNNNNNNNNNNNNNNNNNNNNNNNNNNNNNNNNNNNNNNNNNNNNNNNNNNNNNNNNNNNNNAAAACCAGACCACUGGGUUCAACCUAUCAAAGUGGUAGAACCAUGUUCUUCCAGUUCAACCGACUGAACCAAUUGCAUGUGAUGUCAUCUGAUAGAACACUUUGCAUAUAUUAGAUUACACACUUUGAGAACAAAAGAAGCACAGUGAGUCGGCAUACAUCGUAGCAUCUUAAUAGAUUACACAUGCUUGAUGUCAUCUUAAUAGCAUCCUGUUCAAUUUUAGAUUAGGCCAAUAUGGUUGAUAAAUAAAUUAUCCACCACGAAUUGUAGCAAGAAGACACUAGAGCAAAUGGUUGGCACACUUGUUAGUUACAAGAGGUUGGAGUGCCAAACCCCAACCCAAUUCCAACACUACUCCUUUGAACUUUUUUACGGCCCAGAGCUGGUCCAGACUAGUUGACAGGUUUGCUAGGUAUCAGUUGACAGGUACACCUGGUUACCAGUUGAACAAGGUCAAUACCACCAGUUCUUGAUCAAUAUUAUUUUUGCUCGGAAACCAGACUGGACUGGUCUGGUGCCCAGUCCAACCAGAGCCACUUCUUAAAACUCUGACAUGAACAGGAGUCGACAGAAAAGCACGAUAUGCUACUUUUUCCCUUUUGCCAUCAAUGCCUUAAAUAGUGAAUUGAUAUGAUCGGAAUAUAACUCUAGAUAUCAAGAGUAAGAAAUCAAUAUGCAAGCUCCAGAUCCAUGAGUUACCUUCAACUAGUACAAACCUCAGUUAUUUGCACACGUGGUUCCUACAAUAUGCACAAAUGGUAGGUCACUAGCCUACAGUCAUCUCAGCAUCUCCCCAGUUUUCACCUGUGUCAUUCAUCUUAUUUAACAACAUUAUAAUUUGAUGUUCUUGCUUCCAACAGAACAUAUUAGCCAUACUUGCAAAUUUAGGCCACAAAAUAUGAUAUACAAAGCUUUUACCUCAGAUAGAGUCUAAUCCACACAACAGUGACCAAGAGGGAUGCACAACAAGAUCCUUCCAAAGAUCUUCCCUUCUUCACAUUGCUUGAAUCAUUCAUAAGUCCACUCACUACCGCUAUGCGAUUUGUUACAUCUAAAAAAGACUCCUCAUGUAUUUGGAAGGAAAUAUAAUCUGAAGCAAAUUCAAAGUCAUCCUGCAAUACCAUAUAUAGUAAUGAUUAGCAUGAAAAAGCAGUUGGACUCCGCACAUGUGGAUCUCUGGAUAAUAUUUGUAGUUUUAGAUUAAAGGUAUAUACUCCAUAAAAGGACAGUGAAUUGGGAAUAUAUUUGGUGGAUGCUAAAACUAACAUAAGAGGGAAUUGUAGCAAUAAAUUCUUACAAAGAAUAUUUUUCAAAAUAGAAGAGAAAGGCAUAUGGGCAGCUUCCUUGAAAAUGUGAUUAUCAAAUUAGUUUCAAAUCAGGAAACAUGAGAUACAGUAUUUCCAUACACAAGGAUCAUAAGUUAAACACAGAGCCCAAUCCGAUAAAAUCGCCCAACUAAAGCUUCCAUGUACAUUGUUAAGUAAUCAAACAUCAAAUACGAAAAACUAGAUUAUUAGACAAAGGGUAAGUGAAAAACCAUUGUUGAGGACAACCUCCAGAAGACAACCCCCAAGGGUUUCCUUUUCUUUCUCUCCUUCUCCAUUAUAGUCUCAAGGUUCUGGCCACUAAGACAAGGAAAUGAAAAAUAUAGGACAACUUUAUGGUAAUAGGCAUAUGGAUAGAAAUAUCGACAAACCCAUUAACAGAAGUCCUGAAUUAGCCAAACGAGAAAUGAAUAUUUCAGUUCAAAAAAUUGAUGAGUCGGGUAAAACCAAAAGCACAAACUUUUAAUUAAAGGAUUGCAAUAUUUACAUAAAACCAAACUCAAACUCCUGUUACACACACAGAGAUCUAGAAUUUCACAUUUGGUGCACAUAUCAGCAAUGAGGACCAGAUUUGAAGGGGGGAAAAGCUGCUCAAUAGGGAGUUCGUGGCAAAACAAGUUUUCCUCAGAAAUCGACUUGGAAAGUGAGAAUUCCAAUUAGAGUUUCUCUUUUUGCUUGGGAAGCAACCUGGGAACAACUCCUUACUUUAUAAAUGAGACAAAAUACUGGUUAAUAGGUGUUUCCUCAUCAAAAGGAGGCAGAGUCCGCACGGCAUCCCCUCCUUCAUUGUUCUUGGAAAGAAUGGUUUGGACAGUUUCCUAUGCUUGUGCCAUGUUAUCUUGGGUAUCAGAGGUUUUAUUGAGCAGAACUUUGGGCAUGACAGGGCAUUCGUUUACNNNNNNNNNNNNNNNNNNNNNNNNNNNNNNNNNNNNNNNNNNNNNNNNNNNNNNNNNNNNNNNNNNNNNNNNNNNNNNNNNNNNNNNNNNNNNNNNNNNNNNNNNNNNNNNNNNNNNNNNNNNNNNNNNNNNNNNNNNNNNNNNNNNNNNNNNNNNNNNNNNNNNNNNNNNNNNNNNNNNNNNNNNNNNNNNNNNNNNNNNNNNNNNNNNNNNNNNNNNNNNNNNNNNNNNNNNNNNNNNNNNNNNNNNNNNNNNNNNNNNNNNNNNNNNNNNNNNNNNNNNNNNNNNNNNNNNNNNNNNNNNNNNNNNNNNNNNNNNNNNNNNNNNNNNNNNNNNNNNNNNNNNNNNNNNNNNNNNNNNNNNNNNNNNNNNNNNNNNNNNNNNNNNNNNNNNNNNNNNNNNNNNNNNNNNNNNNNNNNNNNNNNNNNNNNNNNNNNNNNNNNNNNNNNNNNNNNNNNNNNNNNNNNNNNNNNNNNNNNNNNNNNNNNNNNNNNNNNNNNNNNNNNNNNNNNNNNNNNNNNNNNNNNNNNNNNNNNNNNNNNNNNNNNNNNNNNNNNNNNNNNNNNNNNNNNNNNNNNNNNNNNNNNNNNNNNNNAAUGCGUCAGUAGUCUCAAACACCUAAUAUGAAUCUAUCUGGCAUGCAACUUAGUAAAACCAAUUUCAAUACUAGGAGUUGACAUCCUCAGCAUUGGUCUGCCAAAAAAGAGGUGGUAUAUCAAAUAUCAUGAUCUAAAGAUAAAAAUAAUAAUACAAAAUAAUCAAUUCUCACAUCUAAGUACUAAACAAAUGAUUAAGAACAGAGGCUCUCAUAACCAUGGUUAAGCAUCACAGAUUAGAUCCAUGUAAGGCUCGAUUCACUGUCAUCCGAGCACCCACCAGUUAGUUUUCUGCUCAUUUUCUUUGAAGAUCUGAGUUUUCAUUCUCAUCCUUAGCUUGUUGACCAUAAACAUAACACAGAAAAGAAGAGUUUCACUAACUACACUGAGUUCAAUGGGUGGAAUUUGGCAAUAUAAAUAAGUCUAACUUCCCCCAGGCUCUAAUAGUAAUAUCGAUGGGUACAAAGCUUUGAAUAUGAUUAUUUGAACAACAAUUGACUCUCGCAAUUGUCACGGCACAUAUGCUAAUAUUGAAGUGGGCAAUAAACUCUUUCCUUUUAAAUUGAGAACAUAUCUCUACACGUGCUAAUUAUAAUGUGAAUGUAUAAACAUUCUAUAUCCAAAUCUCCAUGUACAGUACACUCAAAGCUCAAACUUAGAUCAAGUUCAAGUUCAAAACAAUGAUUAAUGACCUAAAAUUUCCAUUAUACGCUUAUAGGAGAUAUUGCCAACUUAUUGAAUCAGUCUCAAAUCAGAUUUUACUUGAUCCUUUCCAGUCACUUAAUAUUAAUAAUUCAUAUCAUUGCAUACAAUAUGAUUGUAUGAAGAAUCAACAUCAGGAUGUUUUGAAAAAUAUGGCUUGUCUCAAGAUGUGCAGAAGAAUAAUUUCCUGUAGCAAAUUCCUAUCUCUAUCCGAUCACCUCCAAGACUGUUCACUGAGAUGCAUGAAGGAAAAAGGCCAGAUGCAAAGAUAAUAACACACACCCGUAGAUGAUUGAGGAUAACCAGCAGAAGUUCUUUUCCAGCACCACAAACAACUUGUGAUACACACUUCAUACCCUAUCACUGGACAAACUAGCAGACUGAGAUUAUAAAAACCAACCAAAAAAGCCAAGGUCCUAUAGCAGCACCAGAGCUUAAAAAAUUAGCCAUACCACUUCAUCCAGAGAAUUAACACGAAACUGAUAGAUUGGAAAAUUCCUCCUAAGGGAAAGAGUCAAGACCUAGAUAGCAAACAAAAAUUGUUAAAUGAAGAAAAAUGAAAUGCCAUCUACCGCUCUGAAUUAACAGUAUCACUUGCCAUGGUCACUAACAAGGUUUGACAGCAAAUCAAACUUCCUCAUGAAAUAUGUUAAAUGGCGUCAACCCACUGCUUAUGCAUUACAUAUAAUGAUGCCUGGAUGACAUGAAAUAUUCUUCAAUGUUCAAAGCUUGUUAAGCAACUUGAUGAAGUCCAUUUUUUUCUGCAGACAGAAAGAGAUUGGUAAUCUAAGGAGGCAUUUGGCUGAUAAAGAUUCUCAAAAGUCUGUUCUGAUUUCAAUUUGAGAAUUAAAACAGACCAGAAAAUGCGUUUGGUAACACUCCGAAAGCAGUCGACGAAUAAAAGGAAAACUAUUCUCAUAAUCAAAAUCACAAACUGAAGAUGACUUCUGUAUUCCCAUUCCAAAUGCAAACAUGGAGAUUUGGAAUAAAUAAGCCUGUUUUUGGAAUGUGAUGUAACCCAAGCAUAUUCUCACAAUUUUCAUCCCUAAUGACAUUAUGUUCACUAAACAAAUAUUUUGUCAACAAAACAUGGAAAACAGUUUCUACAAAAAUGGAAACUAAAGCUGUUUUCUAAAACUAAGCAGGCCUUAAGCAGUCGAGAACAAAAAUGAUGCGUGACUCAUGCGACAAUGUUUAAAACUUUGCAACAAAUUUGCCUCACAACUUUCGACAUCCGAACUACAUAGAUUUUUAGGGACAUUUUACUGAAAGAUAGACGAUACUUAUAGGUUAAGUAGAAAUUUGAAGCAUGAACAAGAUAAUUUAGGCUUCCAAGUAUGAGGCAUCAUGUUGUUCAGCUGAUGGCAACUCUUGAAAGUCUACUCGAGCAUUAAAAAUUAUCAGCAGGGAAGUUCUUCCAUAAUGUAAAGUUUAAAGUUAUUUCUAAGAAAACUGCCUCGAAAUUGCUCUACCUUAACUAUCCAUUUCUUUUAAAGGACGAUGAUAAUAUCCUGAGUUACUUUGCGUUUUACUUUCCUUCUGACCAAACAAAAUUAGAUACCGCCGAAACAAAUAUCAGUGCACCUAAACAACCAUAAUACAAUCGUAAUAUCAAGUACAAUCACCACCACAUAAACUAGAACAGAAUCUAGAUUUCCACUCGGAACCUUCAUUCACACUAGGUUUUUUCUGUAAAAUGCCAACUCCUCAGUUCAAAAUCAUGUUCUCGAUUAAGACAUUCAAGUACUUCACGCACUAAAUAGAAAAAAGAGAGAGCUUUCUCAAUUUGAAGCAAUUACAAGGAGAGACUGUCCCCAGCAAUAGAGGUCCACCCACAGUAGACAUUCGUUCUGAAUCUGAGAUUUCAUCUUCAUCCUCGUCCAAGUACGUAGACCAGGGCCAGCUUUCUUGCAACCAAAACACAAGCCACAACUCUGCUUGCUGUAGCCAAAAAUAAAUAACUCAACUUGAUUUCACUCCGAUGUUCCUAUAAUAUGGCCAUAACUAAUGUGAUGUUUUGAUACCUCUGUUGGGUAAAAGUAAUAAGUACAAUACUUGCAUCACGCUAAAACAUAGAUGGAAACAAUACUUGUGUACUGAAGAGGCUAUCGUAUGCAUGUGAACCAUGAAUGCUCUACAGUAUCUUUCUACACUAAAGACCCUGAUAGUGUCUAUCAUCAUGAACAUGUACAUACUAGUUCUCAGUCAGUAACUCAAACUGCAAUGAACCUACCAUAAGAAUAUAAUUAUUCUUUCUGUAUAUGUCUGGCCACUAAAGAUUCAUCUUUUUCGCACUUUGACCUCCCAAUUGAUCUAAAAUUUACAGGAAAACCUAAUAGUUCAAUAUUGUACUUCUUGAAACGAAAAAGAUAUUCUUAGGAGCAUAAAUUUGCACAUUUUCAACCAUCGGAACAAGCAUGAAAUUGUCCAUUAAAGAGGCACAACAUACCUAUGCCAGUCAUAUUUAAACUUGAGAGUAGAUUGUAAAAGUGGAAACUUAGUAAGGAGCAUGGACAGGAUAAUUCCAGCUCCACCACUUAUUCAAUGAAAUAAAUUUGUUACUAAUACUGGCGAGUUUAUCAAACAAUGAUACAAAAGGAAAGACUAUGGGCAACAACAAGUUUCCAAAAAUCCAAACUGCAAAUGGACAUGGUAAGAAGCUCAAGGAAAAUAGUUUUCAGAGUAUACAAUUGAUGGCAUCACAAUGAGUUGAUCCUUAGCUCGAUUGUAUGGCGGUGUAAAGAAAUUUUACCACUACCAAGGAGGAACUACAGUAUGGGGAAUGCAGCAAAUCUUCCCAUUCUCCAUCUCUAGGUGUAAGAUAGAGUCCAAGAUGUGUAUUUUCACUGGGUUAGUGUUUUGGAAGUGAGAAUGAGACAACCAAGCAAAAGUGUUCUCACAAAAUAGAAGCAAAAGUGGCACUACUAACCCAUUAGGGCAUCUAACAUCAUCAGCCACAGAAGCUUUGAUCAAAUUAACAUAGUGAAUUCAACUCAAGUUGCUUGCUUUUGUGGGACACAGUAUGAUUCUUUUCCUUAUCAUUACAUGAUAUUCAUGCAUUAGAAUUAAUGCAAGGCAGUUUUCAAAUGGCGUAUAGGAUAUCGAAAAGUUUCCUCAGGAAACUUAUACAGAUGCCUCUUGUCUUUUACUUUUCAGCAAGUAAAUGAACUAACAAGAGCUUAUGCACAAUAUAAGGAAUUUAUUUUACAGUACAGACGAUUAUGUCAAAGGACAUUGUAGUAAUGUCUUGCUUAGCUCAAAAGUUCAAGUAUAUGAUAGAUGGCUUUACCAACUCUACAAACAUCAAGAUGCAUUCUCUGGGAUAUCUAUUAUUAGCCUUGGAGUAGGUAUCUUCUGGAUUCAAACCAAAUGAACAAGGAUCCAUAGUCAAUAAAAUUCGAAUUGCAAUUUUCUAGAUCGAUCCAAAUAAUUCACAAUGCUUUUGCUUCUUCCCUGUUUAUUAAUUCACUCACAGCCACACCACUAGAAGAAGAGCUUGUUCUUGCAUUUAGCAUUUCUAAACUGAUACGGUUACUUUAAUCAGCCAAUGCAGACAGUUCUGUGAAAUAAAAUGUGUGGAACUCCAUGGUUGAUGCCAAGGGAUGCCCUGUCAACAUGCUCCAUUUGCACCGUAAAUUCACUCUUAAGCAUAACUUAGAAACAUGCAGUCAUGAGCUACAUGGUAAGGGCAGAGCAAACUAAAACCUCAAUUAGGAGGACCACCCUAUAGGGUCCUUCAUUUUUCAUUUCUCGACCUACAUAAUGACCUUUGGCAUGCUAUCAGAUACCUGUAUACAUCAGUUUUUAUGCACUACUUCCAGCAUUCCCAGAAUCAAUCAAACAUUGAGAAUCUUUAUUUUCUGCAUAGGAUGAAGGAUCUUACCUGAAAACUAAUGACAAAUGAUGCACUUAGAAAGCCUUUUCCAUCUAUAUCCCUUACUGGCAUGAUAAGCAAAAUCUUGUUGCCAAAGCACCCGACAAUUUCCAUGGAUAUCUCCCCUCAAUUCCUUGAAUUCAAGUAAGGAGACAAUGAUGACAUUGUCAGCUAGGAAAUAAUAUUGAGAAGAUCAUAAAUCUUGAAAGAUAUUGGGAGCAGAAAAUACAAAUGAAAAUUGGAUAGUACAUCUCAAAAGAACAAAGGUAACUUACCUGCUCUAUGUACCUUUGACAGUAAAUGAGGAUUACUUCCAUUAUAUUGACUCAUCCGAGUCAUCUGUAUUGUCUGAUACAUAUCAUAUCAUUUUGCUAUUUGUAAUCUCAUCUGAUCGAUAAAUCUGAGUUCCAGAUAAUUCUGGAAUUGUUUUGAGUGACUCACAUCCGAUGAUAUGCAGUUCCUGCAACUUUAACCUAUCAAGGCCUUGAAUAUCGACCAAGCUUACGCAUACACUAGCUUGUAAUUUCUUUAGCCUCCCGGAUUUUGGAAGGUCUAGCCUUUCCAUUGAAGUGCACCCACAGAUAUCUAGCCUUUCCAAAUACUCCAACCUAUCAAGGCCUUCAAUUUCGGCUAAGUUUUCACAAUAUGUAGCUUCUAAUAUCUUCAGCCUCCCGGAUUUUGGAAGGUCUAGCCUUUCAAGUGAAUCGCAACCGUUGAUAUCUAGCAAUUCCAAGUACUCCAACCUAUCAAGGCCUUGAAUUUCGGCUAAUUUUUCGCAGCUUGCAACACUCAAUUCCUUCAGACCCUCGAGUUUUGGAAGGUCCACCUGUUUGAUUGAAUCGCAAAAUGUGAUAUCCAAGCUUUCCAAAUAUAUCAAUUUGUCAAGACCUCGAAUUUCAAGUAGAUUGUCGCAUUCAUAGACCACUAAUGUCCUUAGAUGGACAAACUGUGAAACGUCUAGCAUUUCGAUAGAUCCACAGCUAUUGACUUCCAAGGAUUCGAACUUGAAGGGUGUGUUUAGGGAUUGUGGUGAAUCCAUUUCUUCAAUGUCCAUCGGUUGGGAGCAUUCUGAACUCUUUAAUUGCGUUGAUGGAAGCUCCUGGAUGCACUGGAUAAAUUCACAACGCUCAACUUGUACAACCUUGAGAUGGGCUAGGUGGGAAAGUGAAGGCAAUUUACGACUUUGACAGGUGACGCCCAAAUCUGUUAAGCCGGAAGGAAGGUCCGGCAGCGAUUGGAGCUUGUUGCAGUAUCUAAAAUCAAGGUGUCGUAGGGAAGAAAGAUUAGCCAUGCUUUCUACUAGUAUCCCUUUCAGAUUCAUGCACCAGUCAGCACGUAACUCUCGGAGCUUUCUCAGACUCCCAAUACCAUUGGGUAAUUCUUCUAUACCACUUUCAGAAAUAUCUAGAAUCUCUAGAUUCUCCAAAGACCCUAUGCUAUUUGGUAAUGCAUAAAGGGAUGUAGUACCGGAUAGAUCGAGUUGCUGCAGUGCUUUUAAUUUACCUAUCUCUGCUGGAAGCUCCCUGAGGUAGAAACAACAAAUGGGGCGUUUGGCGCCUAACCUGAGACGAAGCGCGCGGGGCCAGCCCAGCUCCAAUCGAAGGAGGCCCUCCAUUUUUUCAAUGGAAGCGUCAAUUCGCUUCAGUCUCUCACACCCAGUGAGGAUGAGAACCUCUAACUUCUCAAAAGCUGAGAGGAAGUCAGUAUUUUCCAAGGAUUGACAAUACGAAAGGUCUAGAUAUUUAAGCUUCUCUGCCAUCUAAAAAAAAAAAAAGAAAAACCAAUAAUGAUUGUCGAUGGGUAAGUGUAGAGUCAUUAUGAUUCAAAAGAAAGCAUAAAAGGAGAGGAAAAAAAAGACUUUAAUUCUUACCUUGAAAAAACUCCAUCCUCCCCAUUUCUCAUUUAUCUUACUCCCUUGCAAUUCGAGUACAGCUAAUUCCUUUACAUCAAAAUUGUUUACUUCAAAACUUGCGGGACAAUUUCGCCAUUGAAGCCAUUUUAACCCCUUCAUUAAGUCCUUAAAAUCUCCACUGAGAUGCGCAUUUAUCAUGUGAAGAAAUCUUAGAUUUGUCAAAUUCUCAAAUUGUUUUUCUGUGUAAAUGUCACCAUCUCCCUCAUCCUUUUCUAGACGUGAUAUAAGUAAAAAUAUUUCUUCUGCUGCACUGCCUUCACUCAGAUUAAUCGCCUCAAUCUUGUCCAUUCCCUAUAAGCAAGAAUCAAUGUUCAUUAGUACUAUAUCCAACUAAAGUCAUCGAAUGUCAUUUGUUCAUAUUGCUAUUGACGUGCAUUAAUGUAUCCAGAAGACUAGCAAUGUGAGGAUAUAAUUUUUCUUUUUACGCCAAUAAACUACAAUUAUAAAGGCUCACAAAGUGAAGGAUGUCAACUUUCAUUUCGAAAUUUGGCCAUACGCAUCCGGAUCUUUAAAAAAAUUAUGAUGUCAUGGCUCGUAAUAAAGUAAAAACUUUACAACUUGUAAUCUUCUUCUUUCUGGAACUGAGUUUCAUUAUUACACUAGUCAAGACAUGCAUGCAAAGCAUGGAAUAUAAUAAAAUUGCAAAGUGCAAAAUCAAAAUUUUACUUGGUCAAUUUUAUAUUUCUAUUAAGGAGACUUUUUCUAUUAAGCAAUGUAUGGGUGAAAGGAUAGAUAAAAGGGAGAAAAACCUCAGAAGCAGCGAGUCGGCGAGCAAGACUUUUCACAGAUUCGGUGUUAUUAAGGAGACUUCUAGCAAAUAUAUAUAUAGUUGAAAAAGUUAGAAAUAAAACUCUCUUUUGUCUUUUUUCUUUUUUCUUUUUUAAUUUCAAAACAUUCACAACACUUCAAAAUGGAAAUAACUGUUUUGACAACUCCAAAAAUCAAAAUGGAAGGGGGAAGAUAAAGAGGCCACGAGAUCCCGGCCUAACCGUUUUUGAUGAAAGAAAUUAAUUUCUCACCAUCGAUUCGGAUAAUUGAAAUAACUCAGAAAGGCUUGUUUCGAGUAACUUUUAUUCUUCAUCUUUUGUUUUUUUCUCAAGAGCACGCACUUUGGCCAAUUUUUUUUUCGUUGGUGAUAUAUCCGUGAAACUUGUCGAGCGCCAAAUUAUACAUGAUUUUUUUUAAAAAAAUUUUUCUGGAAUCUGAGUAUUAUUUGAUAUUUUGACGGAAGAGCAAGAUAUUUACUUUUGAUUUUUUAUUAGUUGCGGCAAGCAAUCUAUCUCGCCCUUUGCUUCAGCUGUAGAUUUUGACUGAAGGUAUUUUGGGAGUACCUGUUAAGUAACCUGGCAGUAAAAAAAAAAAAAAAAAAACCUCUAUGUGAAGUGGUUUUUAUUAAAGUAUUGAUUUAAUAUAAUACAAUAGCAUGAAAAUCGUGAAACUCAUCUCGAAAGAGAAACAAAGAUUUUUAGCGAAGAGGGCCAUUUAUCAAAUGAAAAAGUUAUACGUGAAAUACAAGAUUUUACUAAUUAAUAUAUCAAACAAGAGAUUUAAUAUGUAUAUAUAUUGCAACGUACACUUAAUUUCAUGUGAUAGGGAAAAUUAAUAUAUGAUAGAAAAACCAUAAAAGGAAAUUCUUUCUAUAAGAGAGCAACUCCCAACUUUCUAAUCACGUCAAUGAAAAAUUCGAGGCAAUAGUGCAGGUUCUCGGUCCUCUAGACCAAGCACUAAGUAGUGACCAACAUUACUCUUAAGUGUAGAACAUGGAUUAAAUGAGAAAAAGAAACAAAAUGGUUACCUUAUUUCCCUUUAGCACUUUUUGGGCUUCCUCAUAGUCCCAUAACCUGCUACGGCACCAAGGCUCUCGUUGGUUUUCUUCACGAACUAUUUCCCUACCAAGAUCUCUCAAUUGGUCAUGCAUUCUAAGCUUAUGAUCAUCUCCAACUUUUACCAAUGACAUGAAUAUCAAUACUUCAAUUCCCUCCCCGGGGUAAAAGUCACAAGCAUCCCACAUGUAGGAUGCGAUUAUGUUGUCAAUGCCUAUGAAAAGGCAAGCGAUAUCCAAAAAAAUUUGUUUUUGUCUAUAGUCCAAUGCUUCAUAACUUAUUCUUAAUUUUUCUUGCACUUUCUUAGGAGGGACUUUUUUUAACUUCUUUAUCGUAUCUGUCCACUGUCUUGACUCUUUUCCACACAAUAAUGAACCAAAAACCUCAAGGGAUAAGGGAAGCCCUCCAGUGAUGGAUACAGCUUCAUGAGUGAGGUCCUCAAAUUCCUUCGGAGGAGAGUCCCUUCGAAAUGCAUGUUUGCUAAACAGAAUCGAAGAUUGAUUGUAAUCCAUUUCCUUAUGGUCAUAGUCGUAGUCCACCCCAACUUCUUCAAGAACCCUCUUGUUUCUGGUGGUAAUAAUGAUCUUGCUUCCUGAAGAAAACCAAUCACGAUUACCAGCCAAACUCUGCAACUGAACAACAUCAUCCACAUCAUCAAGAAGAACGAGGACCUUUUUACUUUUAAAUUUGGAAGAGAUGAAAUUAGUCCCUGCAUCCGCAUUACAAACUUCAUCUUUCAGCUUCAAUAUAUCGUAGAUUAACUGAUUUUGUAAAUAAUGUACAGCAUUACGCUUCCACAUUUCCCUUAUAUCAGCAAUGAAGCUACGAUGCUCAAAUUGAUUGAAGAGCCUGUUGUAGAUGGCUUUAGCAAGCGUAGUCUUACCAAUGCCUCCCAUUCCGUGGAUGCCAACAAAUAGGGUGUCAUGAGAAUUAUUAUCCACAAAUUCCAUAACCUUCUUCACAUGAACAUCAAUUCCAACCAAAUUCUUAGAAAUGUCCAACUUAAACUUUUUCUUCAAUUCGUUCAACACUUUUCGGACGAUCGAUUUCACCAACUCUACUUCAGACCUGUCAAAUGUGACAUGAGUUCAAAUAUGUAGCAACAAUAAUUUUAUAUUGUUUAUCUAUAGAGAACAUAAUAAAUCGGGGGAUAGAUUGAAAAACUUAAAAUAUCAUUGCUGUCAUACAUCUACAUAUAAUGAUAUAUGCUAAGUCUAAAGUGUGGUUGCUUCAAAUGGGGUGCUCCAUUUCAAUGUUACUCCAACAUAAUUUAUCAAGUCAGGAAAAACUUGAGGGUAUCACUUAUGAAUCUUAAAUAUUAUAUAUAUUAUGGAUUUGAACCAAAGUUUAAACUGGUUUUUUUAUUAAAGAUACUAGGAAUGACGUGGAUGUGACUUUAAAAAUUGUUUAGAGCAUUUGAAUAAGCAAAGAUCCUAUAAGCCAGCCCAAUAUGAGAGUUAGCUAUCAAUCAAUAAACAAGUUAUAACUUUUGAUGCAAGAUGAAUUCAGGUCCCGUAACACCAAUCCGAAAAGUAGUUCAGAUUGUGAUAUUGUGAACUACUUGAAUGCAAUUGAAGGGAUUUCUUCUUGUUAGUGCAAUUCUACAGGCUCGCAAGUUUAACUUGUGUUGUGAAUUUAGAAUCAUUCUAGAUAGGUGCUCUUAUCAGUUUUCAUUGCCUCUAGGGAUGAUUACAAGUUGUACUUUGUUUUCCUUUUGAGUAUCUAUGUUCCAUGACUUUAAUGAUCUAGUAUUGAGUUUAUAGGGAAGUAGAAGAAUAAUUUUUACCCAAAAAAGAACAUUGCUUCAAUAUAUGCAGAUGCAUGAGAUAGAAAUUACAUGUUGAAGAUAGGAAAUGCUUUGAAAAUUAUUUAAACAGACAUAUAAUAAAAUUAAUCAUUUUUUUGUCAUCAUCGUAUAUAACCAAUGAAACAUUUCUUUUGUAAAAUAAUUUUAAUAAUAACUAAUCAACUUUAUCAAUGAUUUAAUAAAUGUAACUUGGGAAGAUAAAGAAUUAUAGCAAAGCUUGGACGCUACUGUCUUAUGAGCUUUAAAUAAAAAUCGCCAAUAAGUUGUACUAUUAAUCUCAAAUAGAUAUGUAAUUAGAAAAGUUUGUGACAAAGAUUAAUGUAAUGCACCCUAUAAUUAGAUCGGUCAAUAUCAUUAAAGCAAUAAAUUUUAUUCAAGUGAAUGAGGUAUAAGAGUAAAAAAUCUUCUGAUAUAAGAGUAAAUUCAUUAAAGCAAUAAAAAAAAAUUCCAUCAUCUUAUACUAUUACAAAAUCUUUUGAUAUAAGAGUAAAAAUUCGUUCAAAAAAUCUUCUUAUUCAAGUGAAUGGGAUCAUAACAAUAAAAUUUAUAAUUAGAUUGGUCAAUAUGGUUAAAGCAGAAAACUAAAAAAGAAAGAAUAACUUAUAGAAUUCAUGCACCGUAGGAUCUUACUGCGAGCAAGAUCUUACAGUUUUUUAUAUAUAAAAAAAAGAACGUAAAAUGAAGCAGGUGAGAAUUAGAGAAACCAACGUACCCAACGAAAAAAAAAGAAUAAUUAGAACAGCCAGUAAACACCCCCACGUAUUAAAAGAAAUUAGAGAAUGUUUCGGCGAGAAAUUUUACCCUUGGGCUUUGUAUCCUUUCAAGGUGCUGACUUCAAGGAGUGCUUCCGUCCAUUUCUCCAAGGUCAGUGCGUCGAAAGAAGACCUCCCAAGCAAACGUUUCUCACGCCUAUGAAAUGCCUCUCCAAAACUCCCGAUUUGAUGUCCCACAUCAGCUGGUUUCACUUUGUAGAAUAUAGGCAACACUAUCUGCCCAUUAUUUUCCUUGCGUUCCAUCAUUUGAACGAGUUCAUCUAGGCACCAACUACUUGUACCAUAAUUCUCUGAGAAAAUGGGGAUCAGAAUCUUACUGCUCGUGAUGGCUUCCAUAAGCACAGGUCUGAUGUCCUCGCCAUAGCAGAGCUCAUCAUCGUCUCUGAAAGCAUUAAUUCCAGCAUCAACAAGCCCUUUAUAGAGGUGAUCAGUGAAGCCAUGUCGAGUAUCCGGACCUCUAAAACUCAAGAAUACCUCAUAGCAGUUUCCAGUCAACGAACUAGAUGCACCGUUGUUCGCUUUUGUCAGGGAUGGACUAGAUCCAUCGGAAUUAGUUUCCGUCGGUGCAACCAUCGAACCAGAUGCACCAGUAUCAACAUCUUCUGCAUUUCUAGCCGCACUAGUUUUCUUCUUAUUGAGAAAAUUGAACGCGAGCACGGUGAGAAGGAUCGGUGCCACGAGCACGGCGAAAGAAUGCCCAAAAAUGGGAAGAUGCAUUUCGUCUUUGCUUUGACUUUGCCCUUGAUUAUCACCUUCAAGCCUGACAGAGAAAAAAGCCAGAAUGCUUCUCAGGAAACAGGAAAUGCGUUCUCGUUGCCCAUUCUCGUGGUUUGAUUUAUAUAAUGGAGCCAAUUGGCGACCAGAAUCGCACCAAUAAGUGAAACUUUGUCAACCGCGUGCUUAGAGUCGUUGCCUUCACGUGGCUGAAAUGUCGAUGCACAAGAGAAUCCAAAGAUAACACGCAUAGAACGGUGGAUUUGUUGGGAAGAUGAAAAGUGGAGAGAGAAUUGGGACUAGACUGCGUCGUGGAUUUGCGGGAGAAAAUGAAAAGUGGGGGGGAGAGAGGGAGAGAGGGAGAGAGAGAGAGAGAGAGAUUCGUCCGUUCCACUAAUUUCCAAACAAGUGCUCAGUAACAGACAAAAACAUGCAAAGCGUCGGGAUAAUGAAGAGGGCACGCUUGGACCACUACUUGCAACGUUGAACUUUCCUCUUUCUUCUGUUAAUAUAUUUUCCAUCAGCAAAGGUAUUUUUUGUUAAAUAUAUGUAAGCUCUUAAUCUCACUUAGGAAUUUACCCCUCGUACUUUGAGCCUAUUAAAAAUUGUACAGUCAAACUGACAAACUUUAAUUUAAUAAUGAAAUGUUGUAUUAUUCAACGAUAACUUAUUCUAGAAAUUUACGUUAUUGACACAGUCGAGGAUCAUAAAAAAUUAUUAGCAUGAGAGGAAUUUCUUUUUUGCUCUAAUUCUGUCUUGCCUUUUUGCUUUUGCUUUUACUUUAUAUAUAUAUAUAUAUAUCUUCAUUGGUUUGAUUUAUCUAAUCCAAUGAAUUGGGCGCACAUCAAUAAUUCAAACUUACCGAACUAGACAUAAAUUAGUAAUCCAUUGACCGGGACCAAAAAUGCAUUUAUGGUCGUUGCCUUAGUGUAGUGGAAGUUUCAAUGCACAGUAAAGAUAAACUUUAAGGAAAUGUAGAUGCUAUAAGUAGAUCAACCUUUCGGUGAAAUUGCAUUUUUUUGCUCUCUAUCAUUUCUUCAUGCAUGCCCCGAUAAUUCUCUCUCUCUCUUCAUUUUUUUUGUUAAUUUAUUUUCCAUCAAAAAAGUUAUUUCUUUUAAUAAAUCUAAGCUCUAUUCCAUUUAGGAAUUUAACCCCUUUCACUUUGAGCUUGUUAAAAAUGUUAUUGUCAAAUUGAUAAACUUCAUUUCAAGACUAAAAUGUUCAACUAUUACUUAUGCUAAAAAAUUAUAUUAUUACACGCGUCGAUGAUUAUAAAAAAUUAUCAACACUAUAUAUAUAUCAUUUUGUGCUCAAGCAUAAUGAGAAGAAUUUCUUUUUUGCUUUGUUUCUGCCUUAAUUUCUCCAUCAAAUCUCAUAGGUAAAUUGAAAUGCCUUCUUGCUUUUGCUUUUGAUUUAUUAAUUAUAUAUAUAUUUCUUUGUAGGUUUGAUUAAUCUAAUAAACUAGUUGGCGCGCACCAAUAAUUCAUUGACUAGGAUCACUAACUAUGCGUUUAUGGUCAUUGCCAUCACGCGGUGAAAGUUUUAAUGCACAGAAGAAUCCAAGACGAUCCCACCUAGGAGAAAGAAAACAUGUGACCAAGUUCCGAUGCAGAAGCAAUAAAAAGAAAAAGAAAACCAAAAAUAAAAGACAAUUGCUGUUAUGUUAUCCCGAGACAAGUGAUCAUAAUGCGUAAAUACAUAACCGUCUCGACAAUGAUCGCAUGGUUGAAUUUUCAUUUUCUUGUGUUAAUUUAUCUUUCAGUAGAAAAAUUAUUUUUGUUGAAUAUAAACUCUUGAUCUCACUUAGGAAUUUACCCCUCCUACUUUGAGCCUGUUAAGUAUUAUUGUAUCAAACCAAUAAAUUUUGUUUCUCUGUUGAAAGUUGCAUUAUCAACAAUCUCUUAUCGUAAAAUCUACUAUAUAGAUAAAGUCUUCAAACGAUUAUACACCCAAAGAAAGUGAAGAAAACCCUAAUGGCUUGAUAUCCCGACUCCUUAGGGGAAGUAGGUGAGGGCCCUAUAGGUCCUACGAUGCUUUUUGAAACAACUUUUGGUGAUAUGUAAUUUUUUACACACAUCUGCCUUUAUUUUGCUAGUUAUUCUCUAAAUAUAUAAUGGGGCAUUAACAGCCACUUGCCAUACAUUCGGACAACAAACAUACCGAUGCAUCAACCACUUAUAUAUUUUAUUAUUUCUUGGACUAACCAAAGAACCGCCGAUGUUGAAUAAGAAUCAAUCAGAGGGUAAAUAUUUUUAUAGCCCUUACUACACUUCUUUUAAGGUGGGGACUUUGAACACAUCAAUGCUCAAUAUUUUUGACUUUCCCCUUGUUUAAUUUCUUUUCCUGAUAAGAUUUUUUAACUCCACGACAAUUCUUUCUAGUUCCUUUCUUGACCUUUGCACAUUACUUCCCUUCUCGCUCCAAAUCCUUGAUUUUCUACUUGUUGUCAUCGCUUCCCUUACAUUCACUAUUUCCCCUUACAUGCUUGCAGAACCCUAAACUCAUGCCCGUGGUCAUUCUCAGCGACCGACGAGCCACCCUCCUCAAAAUCACCCAUUAGUUGGUGAGAGACGGAUGUGUGAGGCCCCAACUUGUCACUCCCUAUGAUGUCAAAAUUACACUUCGAAUUUAACCUAUAUAUACAUAUAUAUAUGCUUUUAUAAUCAACAAAUCACUUUGAUAUUACUACUAUGUUUGGGAUUAGCCAUUGAAAUUACUACAACUCGUAUCCCGUUACAAGAAAAGUGUCGUCAAGUACUUGACUUAAGAUAAUGUCCACUCGAGGCCUCCCCAUGGAUGCGGGGAAAUACUUGGACUGUUGAUUAAUGAUUAGGGCUCCAACUAACCUUUGAAGCGUUCUGGUCAAUGGUCAAAGGGCAAUUAUAUCAUGUAGGGCUAAAAGAAAAAAAAAAAAAAAAAGAAGAGAAGAAGAUAUCAUCAUGGAUUACAAAAUCAAAAGGCGAAAAAAGGAAAAAAAAAAAAAAAAGACAAAGAAAGAAAGGAGCGAAUUGUGCCGUUUGAAAACGAAAAGGAAGCUCGUCCACGACGUAAAAGCCAAACCUCCAUUCAACAUUUGUACCUAUUAUUGCUAGAAAGAUAUUUCAAAAUAACUACGAUUCGUAAAUAAUUAUAUCGAGUAUAUAUUAGGGAGCAUGCGUAUUAUAUAACAAAUGUGAAUAAAGCUUGCCCACAAAUAUUCAUUUGCUAAUCGAGUAAAAUCCAAACGGAAGGGAGCCAUCGAACAUGCGAGGGAGAGUGAGGAGACUAAAAAAGCUCUUUCUGCUUAAGAGAGCAUCGAUCUCCAAUGAUUUAUCCCCUCUUCUUUUUAAACUAAGUUAAUCACGUCGCUUGACGCAUUAGGUCAGGCCCAUUAAGCAUUUAAACAUGGUCUCUAGCUAGCUUAAUGUGAAAUAAGAGCUUUCGACUAGUGCUGUUAUUGCGCACAUAGACGCGUAAAAGUAAUUGCUAUUUAUAAAAUCAACUGCCCGUACAAUUAUUGUGCUAACCUUACACUUACGACGUGGACAUUACAUCAUUGAUUGACCCCAAAAAAAAAUAAUAAUAAAAGAGAAGAAAUUACAUCAUUAUACUAAUUGUUGAUCGAUAGAUAUCAUGUCUAUAUAACACCUAAAUAUUCUUUAACGAUACUUUUUUUUUUCCCAACAAGCAACUUCAGAAGUUAAAAGGGGUUUUGCUGCCUUUACGAGCUGUUCGACAUCAACUUGCAGCUGCAACAUCUUCGGAGUUAUGACACUUUCACGGUGCAACAACUUAUAUCAACUUUGAAGAGAUACUUGAUAACUCUUUGAAACUACAAAGACCAGACCUAGACUCACUAUUGCACGUGUACUUUUCUCCGGUGAAGUUAUUUUCCCUGGUAUAUCAUGUGUUCGUGAACAAACGACGUGGCAUGAAGACUGCGUCCCCUCGCAUGUCAAACAGCAAAUACAUCCUGUUUUGUUAUUAAUCAAUAAAUUUGUGGGACAAAAAACUUAUUAAUUACUAAAUUGCCAUUUCUCACAAAUUUAAUUUUUGGUCAGACUAUUUCUCACAAAUUACCAAAAAAAAAAAAGCAAUUGGCUACGUGCUGCCACCAAUGUGAAUGAUCGAAACCCAACGCGCUUGUGCGUUAUUUUAAACCAAUUUCAAAUACUUGCUCCCCCGACCGAAAAUUUCCAUCAACGAAUUUUGGAGAAAGAAUUGGAAAAUCAACAAUAACAUAUAUGAUAUAAUAUAAUUCCAUGCCCUCGUUCUAAGAAAUCCAGCUUUACAAUGAUUACUAAUUCGGGAAAUCGUCCUAUGCUCACACUACAAUUAUUUAUAAUAACACUAUAAAAUAGAAAAUGUUUUUAUCCUAUGCUUGUUAGAUUCAAAUUUUGUGUCUCAACUAUUUUCAAUCAAGUAAACCUAUUGAAAAUAUUCUCACUUUAAAGGUCACCCUGUCAUUAAUAUAUUAUCUCAAUCUGUAAUUGCAAAUGCAUAAAAUUGUAAUUCACAGUAAUUGAAACGAUUGUCAAAUAAUUGCAAAUGCAUACUCGUUAUGACCGACUCAACUUAUUUAUCGAGGAUCUUAAAAUUAGUUUCUUUUCUUUACAACAAAUGGUGCAAAAACAGGAAAAUAAUUUUUCAUAAUCAAUGAUUUAUCGAAAUAUAUAAUUGAUUGCCCUUAUGUUGAGAAGCCUCAAUGUGAAUUUAUGGUACACCAACUCAGGCCAAAAAGACAAAAAAAAAAAAAAACGAAUAAAAACCUACUUUUCUAAAUUAUGUUGGAUUAAUAAAUUAAUUCAGAUUUAUUCACCAUGAACCCAACCUAACCCACGGUCCAGGUCACACGAAAGUGAGUGGAAUCUUCGUCUUGCAGACGUAAUCGGACAACGGUGCCAGCCCGCAGCCCCGCCCAGCUGUAGAAUUACACGUGUCUUCAUCAGGAGCCUCCACCUGGUCGUCUCCGUAAUGCGACGAGUGGAUCACGUGCAACGAGAGAGACCGAAAGAGAGAGAGAGAGGGGGGGGGGGGAUGAGCGGUGGUGAUGAUGGGACCCACCUGACACAAAGGCUUGUGAUUAUCGCCCGCCUUUUGUCCACCUUUGAAAAGUCAACUUGCUCUUCUUUUUUAUUUUUUUUAACGCGCCUUUUUUUGGGUCGGAAUUUCUUAAACACGCAAGAAUACUAAAGAAUCUUGUUAAUUAACAUGUUUUUAAAAUAUAUAAUGACUAAUGGAAAGAGCAACGAUAGAGACUGAAAACUAGGGCCGACCAAUCAUAACGAGCGUAUUCAGCGAAAAAUUAUCAUAUGAAUGUGUGUAUAUAUAUAUAUAUUAAAUUUAAAUCUGAAUCUAAAAAUAAUGAAUUUUAAGUAGGUCUUACAAGAGAUUUAGUGGUGCGGAAACUAUUCAAUACAUUUAAUAUAUUCAUUGAUUAAUACAUCACAUAUGAUACUUAUCAGUUGCGUCAAUUAUCCUUUUUUCAAGCAUGAUAGUUUGAUUUCAUAGCCAACUACUUAAAAUAUAUGUUAAAACACUCGGUUAAUGAGGUUCCAUAUAUAUGAAAGCGAUGAGAAAGAAACACGAAAGCAAUUGGAGCAUUAUGGGGAGCGAAAAAUCGGCGGUGUUUAUUUCAAUUUGCACCAUUUAAUGUGGAUAACUGAAAAUAUUUUUAGAGGGAAGCUUUUUUGAAAAAUCUUGACAUGCAUGGAGUCUCGAUUCACCAUCCAAUGGACCUUAGCUCUUUGGCUUUUGAAAUUGCUUGGAUCGAUUCCUUAUUUAUAUUUUGACCUAUGGGUUUGCUUCAUGCCAUGGGUUCUAAACAUGCAAAAUAACAGCCUAGAGGAAUUAAGAUAUUUCUUCUAAUUAUGCUGAGGAAUAGCAACAGUAAAAAAAAUCACAAUUUUUGUAUUUUCAAAGGGUUAUAAAGGUAUUAUGACAGCCUACAUAUUCAUGAAAAAAAUAAUUUUAAACUGGCUGAGUAGUGACUCGCUUAUUUAAAUAAUUCUAAUAUUAAAACGACGAUAUUGUUAUUUAUGGGUUCUGGAACCCUUUCCCCCAUUUCCCUAUUAAUUUUCUUCAAUCCAUACACCCUCAGAAUUGGAAAAAUCUUCCAGUUUGAAACUCACCGAAAUUCUUUUUUUUUUAUAAAAAAAAAUGACGAAGUUUUUUUUUUUUGGUAAGUAAAAAAAAAAAAGACCAAGUUAGUGACUUGAAUUUAGGAGAAUAUUAUUUAAACAGAAUUGAGAUGAACCUUGUGGGGGUUUAAGGUGUAGACAUUUUUCUUACCAGGAGGCGCUAAUGCUUUGCGUGCAUCUCCCAAGUCCAUCAUACUAAUACGUCGAAAAAAAUCAACCAUUGGAAUGAGCAUUGUCCUUGAUUGCGUUAAUUUUAUGCUUUCGCGUCAUAUGCUCUGUCCCCCGCAAAGAAGAAAACAAAUGUCAAUUUUGGAAUUACUUGAAUUGGGUAUGGGAACAAAAAUGCACAUUUCUUGUUAGACUCUGAUUAUUGCAAUUGUGCUUGUAUCUACUCUAAUCAUCUCCUUGGAGAGUUAUUGUUACUUUAUGUAACAUGUUAAUUGAAGAGUGUAUAAGAGUAUUAGCAGUAUUUGGUUAUUGAUGUUGAGAUUUAUUAGCUUCGAAUACAAGCAAUACGUGUUAUGUGACAACUACUUAUAAGAUUAUUAUUGGAUUCCAGCCUUGUUGGUCUAAGAGAGUCGAUGUAAGCUUAAUAUAAGCUGAACCACUAUAAAAUCUGGGUGAGACAACUUCUGUUUCUUCACUUAAAUUUAUGUUUGGUUUAUGGAAGCAUAAUGUCUACAAUAUCAUCACACUGUUGUUGCAUCUCUCAGUCUGCUCCAGCAUCUAUCAAAACUUAACUAGAGUUAUUUAACAAAAGGAUUAUUAAGUUUUGUGAAUCGACCUUUUUAGCUCGCUUUAAGUUACGUUAUUAGCCUCAACAUUAUUUAGUUAUUGUGAUGGGCUUUUUUUUUUUUUUUUAUUAACAGGAAAUCGAAUUUUAAAACGAUAGAGUAUUAUAACAUGGAAUUCAGUUUUCUGCUUUUCAUUUUUGGCUCUUUUUUUUUUUUUUAUGUCCUUAUUGCUGUGGAAUUUGGAUUCCUAACACGGGACACUUUCUGGUGCGUGCUUUGAGCGAAUAUGAUUUCUAAUUAAUAAAUGUCUGCAGGACACUCUGGUGCGUGCUUGAGCAAAUGUCCUUUUGAUUGCGGUACGUUCGAUGUGUUUCUACAGGAGGAAAGAAGAUGCCGCUUGAAGAUGCCUUGAUGCGAAGCGUACAUACAGACAAAAGUAAGUAAAAAACUGUAUUAUACAAGUUGGCAAAUUGACUUUAGAAUAAUGUAAAUAGGAGUGCCUUCCUUACAGCUCAAUUCGACAGGGAUUAACGUAAACGAAGUUCCUGUCAAAUUUAUCGGUUGCUGAAGGUUUAUAUAUAUUUGUUAGGGCUAGUUGAAAUAACUGCUAUUGAAUUGUUUUAGCGAUAUCUAGAGACGGUGGCAAUUUUAAGCGGGAAAAUUGCUAACAGAAGUAUCUUACCCACACUUUUUAGCAUCUAGUCAUUUUGUAAAACAUUUAAGCCAAUUUUCUUUUAUUCAAUAAACUUUCUUCACGGUUAAGUUGUAUGAUAUAUGUGUGGAUAUAUAUAUAUAUAUAUAUAUAUAUAUAUAUAUAUAUAUAUAUUUGUAUCACAUCUGAAGAAAUAUUCGACCACUAUUAUGAAGAAACCUUUCUAUUAAGUGAAAUCUUAUUGAUGUUUUUGUAGAGAUUUCAACCCCUUGAUUAAAAUAAUGUUAUGCAACUUUCUAUUAAAAAAAGAAAAAGGAAAGAAAACUGACGAGAAAUAUUCACAUGCUCCAGGUGCUAAUGUCCAGGAGUCAAUGACAAAAACAUAUUACCCAAACGCAAGAUGACAAAACCAUAGCAGUCAGAUUGGAUUUCGUUCAUAGAUAUCUAUAGCACGCUUAAUAUUCAAAUAAGGAAAGUUUAUUCUCAAACUUCAAUUUGAUUUUUUUUCGAAAAUCAACACUUAUAAACUAAUACAAAAAAAGGCCAAUAAUUGAUGGCAAGCAUUAGUCAAUGCGUCUUUUGUCUUUCUUAUAAAGAGAAGACUGAUGACAUUUGCUUUACGGGUUUAUAAAUCCCAUCUAGGUCACAUCUUCCACCUAAAACACUUAUAAAAAAUCUCCCCCAAAAACAUGAGCAAAACUUCUGCCGACUUUUUACAAUAAAAGUCGCAUAAAACCAAAGUUUACCAGCCAUCUAUCUAACAAGAAUCCAAUAGAAUCAUUUGUCGUUGUUGUCAUCUGAAAUUGGACUUGCCACCGAAAAAUUUGGUUUUUUUUAAUAAAUAUCUGCAGCACGCUUAAUAUUCAAAUACAGAAAGUUUAUUAUUUUCAAUCUUCAAUCUGAUUUUUUUAAUCAACGGUUAUAAAUUAAUACCCAAAAAAAAGGCCACGAUUAGAUGGCAUUAGUCAAGGCAUCUUCUUUCUUUAUUAUAAAGAGAAGACGCCAUUGAUGACAUAUGAUUUACGAGUAUAUUAAUCCCAUCCCCGUCACAUGUUCCAUCAAAAACACCGUUGAAAAAUCUCCCCUAAAAUAAGAGCAAUAAUUUCACCGACUCCUGAUAAAAAAAAGUCGCAUAAAACCAAACCGGCCAUCUAUCUAGCAGGAAUCCAAUUAGAAUCAUUUGUGGUUGUUGAGAUUUGAAAUUGGACCUGCCACCGAAAAAUUUGGAUUUUUUUAAUAAAUAUUUGCAGCACACUUAAUAUUCAAAUACAAAAAGUUUAUUAUUUUCAAUCUUCAAUCUGAUUGUUUUUAAUCAACAGUUAUAAAUUAAUACAAAAAAAAAAAGGCCAAGAUUAGAUGGCAAGCAUUAGUCAAGGCAUCUUCUUUCUUUAUUAUAAAGAGAAGACGUCACUGAUGACGUAUGAUUCACGAGCAUAUUAAUCCCAUCCCUAUCAUAUGUUCCACCAAAAACACCGUUGAAAAAUCUCCCCCCAAAAAUAAGAGCAAUAAUUUCACCAACUUCUGAUAAUAAAAGUCGCAUGAAACCAAAGUAACCGGCCAUCUAUCUAGCAGGAAUCCAAUUAGAAUCAUUUGUGGUUGUUGUCACCGAAUGACUUGGAUCUUUUUAAUAAACAUCUAUAGCACACUUAAUAUUCAAAUAAGGUUUAUUAUUUACAAUCUUGAAUCUGAUUUUUUUGAAAAAUCAACACUUAUAAAUUAAUACAAAAAAAGAAGAAGCCAAGAAUAGAUGGCAAGCAUUAGUUAAGGUGUCUUCUUUCUUUCCUAUAAAGAGAAGACAUCACUGAUGACAUAUGAUUUACAGGCAUAUGAAUUCCAUCCCCGUCACAUCUUCCACCAAAGACACCCUUAAAAAAUCUCCUGCUAAAAUAAGAGCAAAAAAAUUUCACGGACUUCUCAUAAUAAAAGUCGCAUGAAAUUAAAGUUGACCAGCUAUUAUCUAGUUGGAACCCAAUUAAUAAUAAUAAUAAUAAUAAUAAUAAUAAUAAUAAUAAUAAUAAUAAUAAUAAUAAUAAUAAUAAUACUAAUACUAAAUGAUAGUUUCAACGACUUCAUAGUUGUUGUCUUCUGAGAUUGGAUUGUCCAUCGAAUAAUUUGCACCAUCUUCACCAAAAACUUGGUAGUCAUGUUGCAUAGUUUUGUUGGCUGCAUCAGGUUUGGUGGAUGGUUUGAUUGUCUUAUACUAAAUUCUAUGAGUGGGAAUCCAAUUACAAUAUUAUGUACGCACUCUUUGUGUCCUCGCAGUCAAAUGGGUUAUUUGACAAAAGAAAAAUAGUUUGUAGCAAUAUCUCAUGUUUGGAAAUAAUAACAUUAGUCGAACGUGAAGUAUCUUUAUCAUUAGUUACUAGCAAUAUCCAGAUUGGGCUAUAUGUCGGACUUUUAACCUGUUCUCCGUAUCAUGAGAAAACCUUUGUGAUUUCGAAACAGGCCUCCAAGGGCUCAACUGAGCUGGGCUGGGCCGGGCCGGAUUUUACGACUAUAUUACCUUGUCAAACAACGCCCGUAAGUGGUCCCUUCGGGCACAUGUAGGAGUGGUGGAUUAAUUAUUGAAAUGUAAUUGGGAAAAAAACAAUGCGAUAUCAUCCUCAUUCACUUUAAAUUAGAAAAGUAUGUUAAGGAGCUAUUUGAAUCGGCGUCUUACAAUCAGUUGGUUAAGUGUCGAGAAGAUGGACUAGCUCGAGCUCGAUCGAGCCAUUUGCCAUCACCAUGCAAGCUUCAAACACUCGGCCGGAUUACUCAACCAAGUCAUUGGUCAUUACCACCUGAAAUCCACCCCUUUUUGCGCGCCAUUUCUUUUUUAACUUGGGAUGAUUGAAUAUCAAACUCAAUUGUAUAUGAUCAUUCUCUAGUCAAGCGGCGAACGUCAAUGUUUGAUCCGGCCAUUUCUCGUAUGUGCAAUGCAAACGAAUUCGGCUUGCUGCAGUACUUCAAGUGCUUGGCUCUGAAUCUGAAGAGCGUGGAGAUUGCCUAGUCCCUAGCUCGUUCUUUUGAUGGCGGCGGAUGUUAGCUCACCUUGUCAAUCCUGCUUUUAUCAAAUGAUGCACUCUUGCUGGAGAAGAUGGUCAUUAAUGUCAAGAGUAAUGGAAGACGCCAAUUGAAAUCUUUUGAGUCUUUGCCAUAGCUGGCUCUACCCUACCGAGUUGCUUUUGAAAAAGCUAGGUUGUCUUUAACUAUUGUUUAAAGCGAGUUCUUGCUAGCAGCGUCAAAGAGUUAAAACAACUUAAGAAGAACCCCAGUGAGACUGUCCUGGGUGAGGAAUGUACUGAAUCCUAGUUCCUAUUAAGUCUAUUAGUCCUUCACAUGGGGCUCCUCUGCUCAGAUCACAAAGAUAAGAAGUCAAAUGAGCACCAUUUUGAAGUUUCUACCAAAAUAAAAGUUAUAUUGUAUCCUGCAAUGAACUAUGAAGAAAUUUGAAGCUGACUUUAUUUCCCAAGCAUCCUCGGAAGCUAGAGAAUAUCUUUACAAAAGAAGACUGCACCAAUGACAUCAAACCUUUCAAAAACUGGAAGGAGAGCCUUCGAAUUUAGUGUUAUUGUUGCUGGACUGAGUCUUGGCUUCCAGUAGUGUGAAUUUUUGGACUUCUAUUGAAAAACUGACCAAGGCUUGCUCAUGUUGAAAACUAAGUAGAGCUGGUCAAUUGACGAAUCAAAUCAUAAAUUGAGUGUUUUUUCCCCUCAAAUUGAGCAACGCCAAUCAAUUUGGAAUUUUGAAGAGGGCCUAGUCUAUACAUGAACUAUGCUCUCUCUCUCCCUUCUUUGCAAUCAUUAACAAACAUAUAUCGUUUGCCUUGAGAUUGGUUUUUUGCUUGAUAUUAGGAGGCAUAUAAUCCAUCUAACAUUGCUUAUUUUGAUUGUGGUUGAUAUUAGGUUUGAUGCCAUUAAAAAUCCCAAACUGUUGACUCAUGUCUAAUUUAUUCCAACUAUCCUUAAAUUGAACUUGCAUUUGAAAGUACUGAGAAAUAGCUUUAAAUGAUAUGAACAAACAAGAGGAUUAGGUUACUGUAAGCCACUAUCGAAAGCGGUAAUCUAAUAGAUUAUCAAUACAAAGGCAAAAGGGCUAUCAUCAAGUACUUGCAUUUUAUCAAGGUUUAGUUUGUGAGAUACAACAUCAAUUUGGACAUGAAAGAUUUAAGAGUUGAUGUAUCAUCAUGACCUAUAAGGAUAUUCAAUGUGCUGAACAUUCAAUAUCCAAUGCUAAUUACACACAAAAAGAUAUAUUCUAUUAAUUGUGAUUGUGCAAAAUGAGCCUCAUUUAAUAUACUUUGUCCAAUUCGCCAUAUAGUAGCAAAAGUAAAUUUUAUAAGCUCUAAACGGCCAUAAAUAGUGGGUUUACCCAAGGUGUUUGGUGUGAUAGACAAGUUGUCUUCUAGACAUUUCCUAUCAAUAGUAAAGCUUCUCCCCAUUUUCUCCAGUAAUAUUUGUUUUACUAGCCUUCUCUUGUUUUCUCGAUCCUCAAAAACUUUUAAUUGCAAUUUCUCCAAGACGAGCUUGUGUAAAAUGGCUCAUGGAACUAAAAAUUUACAUGAGGUUUGCACCGACAGUGGACCUCAUAACAAUCAUUUGUUUUGUUGGUAAUAUUAUUAUCUCAUCUUCUUAUUAAUGUUUGACAUCAGUGUUUCUACACUUGCAUCAAGUAAAAAUAUAUAUAAUUUUCUGGGAAGAGAGGGGGAAGAAUACAUUGAAAACGAGAAUAUUUGGAAGGGCAAUAAAUAAAGGAGGAUUUACUUUUAGAGUAAACUCAGCUAAAGUUCACAAAAAGCUAUCAUUAUGACAGAUAAUAAACAUAAGAAAUAUCUCGUGUGCACAUGUUACUUUCAUACGUUCUCUUUCCUCGAGAUUGGCAAUAAUUCCAAAAGAAAGAAUAAUACAAUUAAACAAUUUUAGAUAGGGUACGAAAUCCACUAACAAUAUUGCAGACAUAAUCUCAUGACCUUAAACCCACCAUUUAUUUGAGGAUUCCAAAUCUCUAAGAUUGGAAUAUAGCCUAUGUUCUUAUUUGCCACCUUAAAACCAUAUAUCUUGCUAGUCAUAUUCCACAUAGGAAUGUAUUUUGUACAUCAGAUCGAAUGCAUCACUUAACAAUGACUUGUGGAGGAGUGAGUCAAUCUCAAGCGAGAUAUUUCAAUAUGCAAAUGUAGAGUUCGUUAGCCAAGCACACUGCCCGAACCACUGAACCCAAAGUAUAGAUAGUCCAAACCAAAUAUUUGGUUCCCUUACACAUGAAAAUAAUGAACAUAUACAGAUGUAGCAAAAGCUUGGCACUAUCAAGCAGGUCUCAAAGCUUACAGCAAUACCAUGAAGGCGGUUACCACCGGAUAGAAGCCAUGACUCGCCAUCUUUCGGUCAAUUCUAUCCAAAUCAAUAGAUAAAUUGUUACCUUUUACUCCACUUUUUCCUUCAACAAAUGCCCGCCUAGCAGAAGAGGCACAUGGCAGGUAUAGGUUAGGACUUCUCGAAGAAGGGUGGAGUCAAAGAGCUUCAGUCAGAAAGCCCACAUGCAUUGCUUCUCACACUGAUGUCUGCAGCUUCAAGUAUUAGAGGCCCACCCACAGCAGCAACUCAAGUAUAACCAUCACAAACUCUUGAACAAACAGUCAUUCUGAAUCAGAGAUUCUUCUUCUUACUCGUCCAGUAUGCAGAUCAGGGCCUUUCUUUCUUGCAGCUAAAACACAAGCCACACCUCUACUUGCUGUUGCCAAAAAAAAGUCAACUUGAUUUCAGUCCAGUGUNNNNNNNNNNNNNNNNNNNNNNNNNNNNNNNNNNNNNNNNNNNNNNNNNNNNNNNNNNNNNNNNNNNNNNNNNNNNNNNNNNNNNNNNNNNNNNNNNNNNNNNNCCUUGUGUGCCUAAAGAGGCUAUGGCAUGCAUAUAACUAUAAAUGCUCUAUAGUAUCUUGCUAUACUAGAUACCAUGAUAGAAUCUAUCAUCAUGAACUUGUAGAUAGUGGUUCUCAGUCCGUAACUCAAGACUGUUAUGCACCAAUUAUAAGAGAGAGAUUAUUCUUUCUGUAUUUGUCUGGCAAUUAUAGAUUCAUCCUUUUCACACUUUGUCCUCUCAAUUGAUUUAAGGGGAAACCUAAUACUCCAGCAUUUUACUUCUUCGACAGAAAAAUAUUCUUCUUUGGAGCAUGCUUUUGCACUUCUUCAAUCUGCAGGAACAAACAUGAGGUGGUCUAUUAAAGAGGCAAAAUGUACCUAUGCCAAUCACAUUUAAACUUAAGAGUAGGUUCUCAGCGGAAAUGUAGUAAGGAGCAUGAACAGGAUUAAUUCAGUUCCACUACCCAGCCAACGAGACAAACUGUUACUGACACUGGCAAGUUUAUCAAACAUUGAUACACAAAGGAAAGAGUAGGGCAACAAUAAGUUUCCAGACAUCCACAACUGCAAAUGGACAUGUUAAGAAGCUCAAAGAAAAAAAUCUUCAGAACUAUACAAUUGAUGGCAUCACAAUGAAUUGAUCCUUAGCCCGAUAGUAUGACAGCAUCAAAAUGUUCUUACCACUAACUGACAAGGGAGGAACUACAGCAUGGGGAAUGCUGCGAAGCUUCUCAUUCUCCGUCUCCACAACUGCACUCACCCCUAUUAAAAAAUGGAUAAUUAUCUUUCCAAUUGGCCAAAAAAAAAAAAAAAGGAAGAAGAAGAAGAAGGUAAUUAUAACAAGAGAUAUUUUAGUAGACCAGACAUAAGUUUUCAAAAAACCUUCCACAAACCCAUAUUGAAGCUGCUGAAUAAAAUCCUAAGUUUGAGAAAAGAAAUAUUUUAGUAGACCAGACUAAUAUAACUACUUAACUGCAAACAAAGCAUUAGACAGAACAUGAAAGGUAUGAACAAUAAAAUAUUGUCUGUUCAGAAUCAAGAUUGAGAAGUUAGAUGAACUUUUUUCAGUUGAAAGAUGCAUACUCUAUUCACUUGGGCAUCCUCCUCCCAAUUGAGACACACCCCAGCUGCCGCAUGGGACUUAAGCUUCUUAACAGUUUUCCAUUCUGCUUAAUAUUUAUACCGAGUUAAAAAAAAAUAUACCACAGUACGUAUAACUGCUGCAAGCACUAGCACGUAACAAGCAGCACGAUGCAUAUCCACGGUUCCAUAAAGACGGCUAGAUUGGUAAGAUAACAUUCAUAUGUAAAAAUAAGAUCUUCAAAGCAAAACAUAAUCCAUGAAGUGGAUAAUGAUUAGUAAAUUGGUAAGACAUCACAAAGAAACUUUAUGGCAGCAGCAUCAGCCAAGUUCUGAGCAAUUGUACCUAUGACCAAACAGCUAGCUUAAUGAAUAACUGGUAAUCUACAAACUUUUCCACCCACAAGCAUAUUUAAGGCACAUACAAAUUCUAUCAUUUAGGAGUCUUCCGAACUAUUACCUUCCUAAUAUGACCGAACUGGACAUGUGUCGCUUUAAAUAAUAGAAAGAAACUAAUAAUUUGAUGAAAAUGAGCGUGCCAUGGAUGACUGCUUCUAUAUGCUGUCUCAGUCAUCUUUGGAUAGGAAUGAACGAUUCAAUCUAAUUAGUUAAAUGGGUAUUUAUAAGAUAUCAUGAUAUCAUCUAAACCGAGCACUUUGUAAGUUUACGGCUAUUCUUCUUAAAAAUUAUAUGACAUUGACGAAGAUAUGCAUAUUGCAUGUAUUGUACAAGUAAUAAAUGCUGCGCCGGUCAUGUUUGGAUUGGAAUGAACCAUUCACUUUAAUUAGUUAAAUGGGCUAUUCAUCUCUUGUCGUUUUUAGACCUAUUUAACAAAGGGGGCAUGAUCGAAAAGAGUGUUCUAAUAAGAUCUGUUAAGGCUUUUGUGCUUAGAUUGACCUAACUAGCAGUCCACUGUUCAUUUGACAUUGGCAGACAGGACCUGUAAACAUGGAUUGCCACCUAUAUUAGCAGCUAAAUGUGUGUUGAGCAAGCUUGCUGUUUGCAAUGCAUCAUGCGACUUUUGAGCAAUUCAGAAUCUUUCCCAACAGAGAUUAGAGAAGAACACAUUCUGAAGAUAAGGGAUUCUUGCAGUGAAACUGUACCAUCUUCUAGUCCCAAGACAACUACUUUGCCAUCAGGAUGCCAGCAUAAUGAUGUUAUACAUUUACCUAGAGUACAUUAGAAUAGUUAGAUAAUCUAGUAUAAUGACAUACAAUGGAAUGUGCAAAGAAAAGUGAUUUCAUAAACAACAACAACAACAACAACAACAACAAAAACACAGAGAGAGAGAGAGAGGGGAGAGAGAGACAGACAGACAGAGAGGAUGAAUAAUUUGUUCACCAUAAAAUUAAUAGACUAAGAGGAAAGACAGAGAACACACAUAAACCGAGAAAAUGAUAAUCAAAAUUUGGGAAGUAAGGCAAACAUCAUAACAGUACACAUUAUAUCUGACAGGGAUAUUGGUAGCUUGACAUGGGAUUUCUUUGGGCUAGUAGAUCAUCUAAAGCUAGGGAAUCUACAUCUUUUUGGCAGCCUUCAAUCCAUUAUCUCAAUCCAGGAACAAAUCUUAUUGUUCAGCUUUGGAACCUUGAGGUGGAGCGUAACCAUGAAAGCAUACGUCAAGCAAGGAUCACAGGUGUACAAGUAUCUACAACUUAUCUAAACAGAAACCACUCAAGGAUUGGUUCACGAAGCACUCAACAACAUGUUUUUCAUAUCAAGAAGGCAACAUGAUGCAUGCGGCAUUCAGAUGUUUCUGGAGAAAAUAUACCUCCUCUCUAAAUUUUUCCAGUGAGAAUAGAUUACAAAAACUACCAAGGCUAGGCAUCUGAUCCCAAGCUCUUACAAAUUUGAAUUGCCAAAAGAUAAAGCCGUACAAGAACUUAACAUAAUUGGAUGCAGCUCCGCCUAACCUCCUAGUCUUUUAGCUUUCUCCAACUCCUCCCUCCAUGUAUACAUGUAUGCAGCAUAGCUUGAGAUAUAUCCUAUUCACAAGUAAUUUAAAAUUCCCAACAACAAACUUGAUUAAUCAAUAUGAUGUGACGAAAUGCCCCUUUGUAAUCAGAAGAAGAUAAAUUAAUUUCAAGUAAUACAAAUUGUGCGAAAUUUUCCAGACUAGACUCUACAUUUUAACAAUACAGAAUGUGAGAAAUCCUUGUAGGGAAUGCUCAAUCUGUACAAGAAGAGGAAAAAGAGGAGCCAGAAGUAAUAUUACCCUCAAUUAGUACAAGAAGAGGAAGAGCGGAGCCAAAAGUAAUAUUACAUCGUGAGAGUCACUAACAGAAAUUGAAGGAAAACUAUAUAGAUGCCCAAUGGCAUUGAGAUCAUAUUUUGCAGGGAUUAAACCUGUCAACUCCAAGUGGGCAUCAAGCAUUUCUACAUUGGACAUAACCAGUCUAUCUAGCAUAAACGACAUCCCCUCCAAUUCUAGUUCUUUAUCUUCGUGAACACUUUGACUGGUGUACCGAAAAGGGCAAAAAGAUGGCAAUACAGGAGCAGGGUACACUUCCAGUUGGUCUAAACGAUUGUCAGUUAUGUUAUGGAAAUCUCCAAAGGCACCAAUCUUGUCUAGAAGUUAAUAGAAAUCUAUCGCGCCUGUAAAUUAAAAUCCCUUCAUUCAACUAGUAUCAGUUUGAGAUUCUUUAUUGGCAACUAUGUCAUCUCCAAAUUUUCCCUCCCAUUACCAUCAUUCACUCUUCAUUUUUGUGUAAAACAACGACUCUUAGUUUGUUCUCAUUUAGAAUUCCAAGCACUUAACCUCUAUAUUCACCAACUCUUCAUCAAAUGCAAUUUGAACUGGAUUGGCAAUUGAAGUGAUUUAUUUGGGGAAAAGGACCGUAGCACAUUUAACGAAAAGCAAAUGGGGAAUAAGGCCAACGUGCAUGCAGAGUCAGAGACUUGCAAUUGGGCAAAGAAAACGGUACACCUUGUACCUCUGCCACAAGUGAUAAAACCUAAGCACAUUCAACAUUUGAAAGGCAAAAGAAUAAGACAGUUUACUCUUCCUUCCAAAUACAGUUUAAAACCCCAGCAAUUAUAUGCUUUGAGAACACUUUUGGUUCCCACCUAUGAGACAAAUUGAGUGACUAAAGCUUUUGAGUGUUGAAAUAGUAGAACUUAUAUACUAUUUCUAGUCAACAAUUGCUUUUUCGGUCUUUUAAAAAACAGGACACAACUACUUUUCAUUAAUAAUUUACUAUGAUCAUUGGAAUGAUGGUUAUGCACUACUGAGCAGGAAAAAGAAUGACCCUUAACCAGCUGCCUUUUGUUUGGUUCAUCAGUAGUUAUUCUGAAGGCACGAUGUGUAUUUGCACCAGUCAUGAUCAGGCAGAGUGGUGAAACGAUGUAAACCAGAUUCCUCGUGCUGAAGUUUGGAAUGAACUUCCUUAACUCGAGGAAGAGGGAACAAUGAAUUAUCCAUAAGUAUGAACCAAACGAGUUAAAUUUGAAAUAAAAAACAAUCUGCUCACCUGAAGGCACCAACUACCAAUUAAAAGCUUAGUCGCGUUCUGCAGCUUCCGAAGCAGUCCCUCGACCAGGUUGCAAUACCCUCUGUAAGACUCGUACCGAUUUUGAACAAAACAAUCAGAUGGCCUUCUAAAAUCCUCGCCUCUCAUAAAAAAGUUCGACUCUGCUUCAAUCAAGGAUUGAGACUUCCGUUACCAGCUGCCUAAUCAUGCCAGAAAAUCCUCUCAAACAGCAACAGAGGACUUGAAAUCUCCAAGGGGAAACCCUCAUCAAGUGCAUACGGAAAGCAGCCAUUGACAGCAAUUUCCCUCAAAGUUCUCGAACAAACCUUGAUGGUUCGGUUUAAACCGUAGCAUCCUUCCAAACUGAGGUACUCGAGAACAGGGCUGCCAUUCGACAUCUCAUGCAUCACCUCCGAGUCGCAGACGGACAGGGACCUAAGAUUAAUCCAAGCGAUACUUCUACUCAACGAGAAGCAACAAAGCCCUGAGUGCAGGUUCACCAACGAAGAGCAUCCAUAAAAGGAGCAGCGGUACUGCGAAAUGGCCGGCCAUCUCGCACAACCUCUUAGUCGCAUCGACUGAGAGAGGUCCUCGACACGGCGGUCGACAGCAAAGCGAAGCCACGGACUGAGCUCAGGCGCGCAACGGUCGAGAAAAUCGGCGUCGAUGUGGAACUUCCUCACCUUGGGCGACGCCUGGAGGAUCAAGAUGCCGUCCACG